Molecule: long non-coding RNA, 76874 nt
Filed under: Setaria italica (foxtail millet)
Lineage: Eukaryota; Viridiplantae; Streptophyta; Magnoliopsida; Poales; Poaceae
Description: long non-coding RNA (SITA_LNC004160)
Source: RNAcentral
GGGAUGCAAUUUACAGUUCAUAUAUCAGCCAUAGGGUGGUUUAGCCAGAGCAGAGCUUUUCGAGAGCCAGGUUCUCAUCCCCAUCGACACUCUUAAGGGUACUUCUCACAAGAUCCUCUGGGAAGCCCAUCUCAACCAGCUUCUGCACCUGUACUCCGCACGAACAAAAAGGCUCAUCAACAUGUACAUGUCUUACAUACGCAAUGAAAUGAUGAGCAGUAUUGUCAGUACCUUCUCUUCCAUGCCAGUGGGCGCACUCUUUGCGAAGGCCUAUGUCCAGUAGCGAGCCGUAGCAGCGAAUGUUGGAUAAUCACACAGGUACUGCAGAAACAGAAUCAACACACAGAAAUUAAUGGGAGAAGGUCGGCAAUAGUAAUUCAGUUAAGAAUCUCACAAGUUCUUGUACAGCUUUAUGGGUCCGCACUGUUCCAUUCGUUCUUGCAGUGAAUUUUCAGAGCUUAUGCUUUACACUCUGCAUCACUGGACUAAUUCUUGCAGUACAAAUUCCAGAAGGAAGUUACUAAGCCCAUCCUGUAGGCUAUAUAAUGCCUCCUUUGGGACUGCCUAGUGGCCUAGUCUGUUAGCAAAGUAACAACCACAACAUCACUAGUACACUCCAACAAAGAACUUAGCUGUGUUGCUGGACAAAUAUAUCAAAGAGGUAUUUCCUUGGAAUUUGCUAUCCUUCAUUUCGGCUGAGGACAUGGUCAUACGUCAUAGUAAAAACGGUUUAUUAGAAACUUCUUACACCCAGCUUUACAUAAAGCGUUAUAUAUCCUUGUGGGCCAUACUAAAUGCAUACGAGCUUGCUGAAAACCAAAUAAAACAAAGCUACGCCCUAUCUUGCAGUCUAGCAUCUGCUUUAGCACUACAUGGAGAACAUACAGGACUAAUUGCACUAGUGGAAAAAUUCUAUAGCAGAAAAAUAAAACAUACAGGACUACCACAAACAUAUUCACCUGUGUAACAUUACAACUGUAAAAUUGCCAAGUGCGCUGCAGGCACAAGCUCAUGUGAUGGAUGCAACAAAGUUCACAUUGAAUCUCAUGCUUACUUUGCUGUGAAAAUGUAUGACGUUAUUCAACCAACAGCAUGACGAGGCAAUUAUGCAGCAGAAACAUAUUUUCUGGAUAAACAGUCAUUCUGACUCAUUUCUGGGAAUCCACCAUUGACAGGCUAUGGCAAUUUAACUCUCAACCAACUUUAGCUUAAAUCGCAAAAAUUAAAUAUAUAGUGCACUAAAAAUAGAACCACAACAGGAAACAACCAGUUCAGACCUGUUGUGCAACAACAGCAUCCUGAGGAUCAUCAGGUGCAGGAGAAGAAAGCAGAGCUUGAAGGGAAAGCAGUGCUGUCUUCAAAGUAAGGGCUGGGCUCCACUGAUCUUUCAGAAUGUCCAAGCAAAUUGCCCCAUUUUGGCUACUGAUGUUAGGGUGCCUUCAAGAUAGAUUGGAGGAUAAGUCAGAGCUGUACUGAAAAAAAAAACUAAGCGAGGGCAGCAGAACUUAGGAGCACAAGGGGAGACAUGUAACAAAAUGGCAAGAUAAUAAUCUGCAAUUCCAGGCGCGCGAGGGCGAGGCCGACGAGUGGAGGGGGGAUCCGAUGGAAGGAAGGCGCGAGGUGGGGGAAGGGAUCGGAAGAGGAGGGGCGGCUCACCGGGGAGGCGGAUGUCGAUGGUGAAGGUGCCGCCCUCGUAGGGGCUAUCGGCGGGGCCGGCGAUGGUGCCGGUGAGGUGGGAGAUGUUGGCGCCGUCGUGCAGCGUGAUGAAGACGCCCGAGACCUCCCGGUCGCGGUUGCACUCGGUGAGCUCCUCCUGCACUGACAGGCAAGGCCAUUUCACCCAGACCUGAAAGUCUACGCAGUCAUAUUCCAGUCUCACUGACUCACUCAGCCAGCCCUGAGAGUGUGCCUUCACCCAGGGCAUGGCAUCAGCAUUGACUACCCUACCCAGCGGCAUGUGUGCCUUCACCAGCUGCGCUAGGUUGCUUAAGCAGCUAAUCCGGCGAUCGCUUAAGAAGCAGAGCGAGUUUAUGGACGUUAAUUGCAGCGGCAUGCUUGGUCUCUGUCAGUUAGAGAAAGCAAGCCCAAAAGUGAGCUACUGUGCUCUAGUGGUCUGAGACUAGUGUCGGAAGGGACGGACGGCACCUACCCUAACCGUAACCGUUCAGGUAGCGCAACUGUUUGGAGCUUGAUGGACGGUUAACCAUGCGCCAUGCAUGUAAAUCACGUAAAACCUUUAAUAAAAAAGAAUCACGUAACACGCAGCAGAGGAGACAAAGCACGCUAGAUGCUACCACAGUACUGCCCCUGUAAACUGAAAACUCAAGAACACGAGCAGCUUGUAAUUUCAGUUGUCUGAUCAACGUGGGGAAUCAAGAAGGAACUCGUGAUCAACGUUGUGGGUGACACCACCGUGCACUGCGAAUUUGCAGACGAUCAGAGAUAUUCCCAUUCCCUUUGACGGUUUUUUAUGGGUCAACAACUCUCUGAAAGAAGAAAAAAAAUUACGUGUGAAGCUUUGACUGUAAAGUGAAGUCGCCAUACAGGACCGGGACUCGGGACUCCGGCCUAACCACCAUGCAACUGGUUGGUUCCAAGCCCAUAACACCGGUGGCAACCGGCGAUGGCACCGGCCGGUCACCUCAGCACCACCCCCAAAAGUCUCGCCAGGACACCAACCCCUGGCUGAAAUCGUGAUCGAUCAGCGUGGGAUGGCUGCCAGAUGUGAAGGACAAGAACAGAGUGUGCAACUGCAAAGUCAACUUCUCCAUCUCACUGAAUGCGCAAAGAUGCCUCGUGUUUGGGAUAAUAUCCAACAUGGAGCUAAUGUGCUUGGCGAGGUGAUCCUUAACACUAUCUGGUGCAGUUCCAUACAUGUUUAUGAGAGAGAUGGUGAACUUAAACAUAGCGGUGAUGCUCUUCUCAUCUACGAUACUAUCAUCCUUUAUCUCGCUGUGAAAAAGACGGUACGGAUGUAAAAGAAAGCCACCAUCAUCAGACUGAAAAAUACUACCAGCAAGAGAAAGGACUUACCAACGCUGCAACGCAGAGGCUAGAGCAUGUACAGGAAAUCCUAUCACACCCCAGUUAGAAGGUGGAGCAUUGAUUGCUCGAUGAUUCUUGGAGUAGCUCUCCAGAUAACCAGCAAAAGAGCUAAACAUUUUCUUCACAGCAAGCUCCUUUAUACCUCCAGAUAAUGAACCGAAAGGGAAACCUUCCAUCAGUAAUGCUAAGUGUAAGAUCGAGGACUUGGAAGAGUUUUCAUCAUUCAGCGCACAUGUAUAUACUCGAUCAACAGUUGCCGAAGAUGCAUAGCUCAAGAUUAUGCACAAUGAACGUGCAACCUUCCGCAAAGUACUGAGAGGCACAAGAACUUCCUCUGGUGAUGCCAAAAAUUUUAACAGGAGGAAUAGUUGACUAACUAUAUUAAUUGAAGUCUCAGUUUCAGCGUAACGCAUGAAGAAACACCAUAGUUCUGUAAUAAUUUCCAAGCAAAGGAAAUGGGGAUGGAAAAGGUUUUCAAGUAAGAAAGCUUCCAGCUCAUUCCAAGCUGCACUCGAGGCAACAGCAGAAAUCAUAAAAGUCUUCAAGGGUUGCAUGAGAGAAGCAUACACAGGUUGCCAAACUACUGCGGGAGAAUGGUCUGCACCAUAUAAGGCAGGGAUUUCAAAGCCAAGGACAUAUGAGUAGAUGUCUUCUGAAGUUAAGAUAUUAAGAAGAGUUUGUAGCUUUUUAGAUAAUUCAAUUACCACCACUUCUGUCAACCACGAGGAAGCAGAAGGUGUAAAAACACAACUAACUCAGCAGGUAAAAGUGCUCUAUUUCUAUGAUCAACAUCUGAAUCCGUAGAGAAAAUGCAAUCCAAUGAAGCCAAAUUUAUCUCUAUCUGAUUAGCUUGUCUCAUGUGAUCUGAACUAUUAGCUUCUUCGUUUUCAAAAAAAUAACGUGCAAGCUGACAUUUGGAAUCUGGUGUUACUUCAGAUGACUUCAUAAGUGUAUCUAGUAAAACAAAUAAAGUUGGCUCCAACAACUCAACAAGUGCCUCAUUUGCUGCUUUCAAUUGUGGCUUCUUGCUGAGUAAAAUGCUUGCGGAUGUGAUCACUAGUGCACACCUGAUUAUAUUCUUGUGUAUAAUCAUCGAUUCAGAUGGAUAUGCUGAACAAAUCCUUACAGCAUUUAUCAAGAAAACUUGAUUGGUAGGAAUGCCCUUCUGGCUUCAGAGGUACCAAUGGCUUCUGGUAACGGCAUGCACCAUGUUUCGGCAGCAACUCUCAGAGAUUUUAUGGACAGAGAGAGAAGGGUUAGGAUGAUUUCUCUGACAUUUAUUUUUUCUUCAAUCAUUCCUUUACCACUUUGCAGUAAGGAGACUACACCCUUCCAUGAUACAUUCAGCAAAGUCACCUGGCUUCCACCACUGGAUGCUGCAUAGGUUCCCAAUUUACACAAAGUCUGAAUAGUGGAUAAUGUAAUCCUGGUCACAUCACUAGCAAGACCUUGUUCGAUGUGUUUCACAGUAGUAUCUUCAUCAGGUAUGCUCGUUUUGCAGUUAUCUGCUUUUGCAGCCUCAGAGUAUGCCCAGCACAGCUUGGUUGUUUCAUCUAGAAAAACAGGUGCAGCCCUAGCGAUAUCUGGCGCAGCUCCAUGAAUUUUCUGUGACCAUAUAUCCGUCAGAGAUAUACCUAAAGAUUUAGCCUGAGAUAGGAGUGCUUGGAAAACAGCUAUUCAUGUGCCUGAACCUUAAUUUGUAGCUCUUGUUGGGUUUCAACUCUAGCCUACCCCAACUUGCUUGGGACUGAAAGGCUAUUGUUGUUGUUGUUGUAUAUAUCCGUCAGAGAGAUUAUACAAUGACAUCAUUUCUGCAACAUUAACACAGCAAGAGUUUGAAAAGAACACCCACUAUCUCAUAUUCAUAUGAUCAGAGUAUGCUGAUAAGAUGUAUCAAGACUAAGGAUCAGGAAGUUCAUUUUAAUGAUGAAUUUCCAAUAUUUCAUGUAAUAUCCCAUUUGAAAUUGCUAAAAGAUAUGUAAGUAAUUUGAAUAUGGGCAUCAUAUGAAUGGUAACAAAUUUAACUCGAAUAAGCAGCGCGCUACUUUUAGGAAAGGGGAGAAUAUCUAUGAAAAGGUAACACAUAUAAUAACCUAAUAUAAUACAAGAUUAGGUAAAGUGUGGCUGAAAUCAUACACAUAUAUGCCAAUACUUCUGCUAAAGAACUGAUAGCAAAAGAGUUUAAAAGAAUCUUUCUCAGUAAAUUGAUCUUUGACUUAUACAGGAUAUAUUGCCAGUUUGCCACUGGCUUUGCCAUUUCAACAAGUUAAUUCUACCACAGUACAAGAUAAAAGUUUACCUUGUUGUCAACUAUUGAGCUUUCCGUCAGACUUAGCAACUCUGAAAUAAAUUCACCGGUAGUGUGCACCAUAUCUACAGUAAUGCAUUUUGCCGCGGAAGGAAGGAGCUUGAUCGAGAUAUUUAAGGUCAUUGAAAUUAUCUGGAGUCCAGAAGUUGAGUUUCUAUUAGAUUUCUCAUGAGAAGGAUACCGGAAAUGGAAAAGGAUGCAGUCGCACUCCAGAUGUAGUAACAUGAAGUAUAAAAACAAAAUGGACAAGUUAGUGAAGAGAUGUGCCAAUUUAUAAUACUACUAUACAGUUAGCUUCAAUUUUCGCUGAUAGACACUUAUUUUGCCUUACAAAGAUUCUGUCCACAAGUUAUGUGUAACUAAAUUCAUGUCAUAAUGCAACUUUCUGUCAAUAAGUUAUGUGAUAUGUACUGUAUAACCAACAAUGAUAGCUACAAAGAAACUUGGCAUGUGCUAACUGAAAGGUUCUACCAUCCACUGUCUUUAUAGUGAUUUCUUCUGGAACUCUGGAGAUAAAGUGGAAUCACAAAUAAUACACGAGUAUUGGUAUGAGAUUUCAGUUUAUAUCAUAAACAUGUAUGGAUCUAUGGUCUGCUUUAGGCUACAAGCUUACAGAAGCAGGGCAGAGGAAAGGGGUAGCAGAUGAUACAUCAAUAUAUAUUGUUAUAAUCCAUCCAAAUUAACACAAACAAUUUAAGCAAUGUCAAAGGCACAGUUCCAUAUUUCAAAUGACCUCUGGGAGAAUUCUGGAGUGUUCUUCCUCUUGGACCUCUUCAGAUUCCUCAAUAGAUUCAACAGACCACAGGAGAUGCUUUCCGCACCAUGAGCUGGCCUAGUAUAGAUAUACGAGCAAUUAAAUUUGGUUUCAGUGGUUGGGCAAGCUUGCAGAUAGCCACUACAGUUGGCAAACACCUCCCAUGGUCCCUAACAAACUCCACUUAAAAAUGUAAGAAUUACCUUUGCAAUAAGAGCAAGAAAUUGCCCCAGACAAUCAGUCAUAUCUAUACAUGAGCAUUUCAGAGCAACCUGCAAAAUUGACUUGUGUAGCACGCAGUGCGAUACACCUGAACAUCCAGAAUCAUCCCAAGAUACCUAAAAUGCUGUGAAGGUAAUACACCGAAACACAGUAAGAGCAAAUAUUCAGAGCAUCAACUAGGACUAUCUGAAUCAGCAGCAGCUUCUAGGUGGUGAGACUUGCCAUCCAAUCUCUAUUUGCAAAUAGUAAAGGCUAAAGAAUUAAAUGAAAUAAUAAUGAAGGGGGGGAGGGGGGGGGGGGUUCUUUUUUUUUUUUUUUUUUUUUUUUUUUUUUUUUUUUUGUUUUUUUUUUUUGUUUUUUUUUUUUGUUUUUUUGUUUUUUUUUGUUUUGGUUUUUUUGUUUUUUGUUGUUUUUUUUUUUUUUUGUGUUGUUGUUUUUUGUGUUUUUUUGUUUUUUUUUGUGGUUUGGUUUUUUUAUUGUUUUUUUUUUUUUUNNNNNNNNNNNNNNNNNNNNNNNNNNNNNNNNNNNNNNNNNNNNNNNNNNNNNNNNNNNNNNNNNNNNNNNNNNNNNNNNNNNNNNNNNNNNNNNNNNNNNNNNNNNNNNNNNNNNNNNNNNNNNNNNNNNNNNNNNNNNNNNNNNNNNNNNNNNNNNNNNNNNNNNNNNNNNNNNNNNNNNNNNNNNNNNNNNNNNNNNNNNNNNNNNNNNNNNNNNNNNNNNNNNNNNNNNNNNNNNNNNNNNNNNNNNNNNNNNNNNNNNNNNNNNNNNNNNNNNNNNNNNNNNNNNNNNNNNNNNNNNNNNNNNNNNNNNNNNNNNNNNNNNNNNNNNNNNNNNNNNNNNNNNNNNNNNNNNNNNNNNNNNNNNNNNNNNNNNNNNNNNNNNNNNNNNNNNNNNNNNNNNNNNNNNNNNNNNNNNNNNNNNNNNNNNNNNNNNNNNNNNNNNNNNNNNNNNNNNNNNNNNNNNNNNNNNNNNNNNNNNNNNNNNNNNNNNNNNNNNNNNNNNNNNNNNNNNNNNNNNNNNNNNNNNNNNNNNNNNNNNNNNNNNNNNNNNNNNNNNNNNNNNNNNNNNNNNNNNNNNNNNNNNNNNNNNNNNNNNNNNNNNNNNNNNNNNNNNNNNNNNNNNNNNNNNNNNNNNNNNNNNNNNNNNNNNNNNNNNNNNNNNNNNNNNNNNNNNNNNNNNNNNNNNNNNNNNNNNNNNNNNNNNNNNNNNNNNNNNNNNNNNNNNNNNNNNNNNNNNNNNNNNNNNNNNNNNNNNNNNNNNNNNNNNNNNNNNNNNNNNNNNNNNNNNNNNNNNNNNNNNNNNNNNNNNNNNNNNNNNNNNNNNNNNNNNNNNNNNNNNNNNNNNNNNNNNNNNNNNNNNNNNNNNNNNNNNNNNNNNNNNNNNNNNNNNNNNNNNNNNNNNNNNNNNNNNNNNNNNNNNNNNNNNNNNNNNNNNNNNNNNNNNNNNNNNNNNNNNNNNNNNNNNNNNNNNNNNNNNNNNNNNNNNNNNNNNNNNNNNNNNNNNNNNNNNNNNNNNNNNNNNNNNNNNNNNNNNNNNNNNNNNNNNNNNNNNNNNNNNNNNNNNNNNNNNNNNNNNNNNNNNNNNNNNNNNNNNNNNNNNNNNNNNNNNNNNNNNNNNNNNNNNNNNNNNNNNNNNNNNNNNNNNNNNNNNNNNNNNNNNNNNNNNNNNNNNNNNNNNNNNNNNNNNNNNNNNNNNNNNNNNNNNNNNNNNNNNNNNNNNNNNNNNNNNNNNNNNNNNNNNNNNNNNNNNNNNNNNNNNNNNNNNNNNNNNNNNNNNNNNNNNNNNNNNNNNNNNNNNNNNNNNNNNNNNNNNNNNNNNNNNNNNNNNNNNNNNNNNNNNNNNNNNNNNNNNNNNNNNNNNNNNNNNNNNNNNNNNNNNNNNNNNNNNNNNNNNNNNNNNNNNNNNNNNNNNNNNNNNNNNNNNNNNNNNNNNNNNNNNNNNNNNNNNNNNNNNNNNNNNNNNNNNNNNNNNNNNNNNNNNNNNNNNNNNNNNNNNNNNNNNNNNNNNNNNNNNNNNNNNNNNNNNNNNNNNNNNNNNNNNNNNNNNNNNNNNNNNNNNNNNNNNNNNNNNNNNNNNNNNNNNNNNNNNNNNNNNNNNNNNNNNNNNNNNNNNNNNNNNNNNNNNNNNNNNNNNNNNNNNNNNNNNNNNNNNNNNNNNNNNNNNNNNNNNNNNNNNNNNNNNNNNNNNNNNNNNNNNNNNNNNNNNNNNNNNNNNNNNNNNNNNNNNNNNNNNNNNNNNNNNNNNNNNNNNNNNNNNNNNNNNNNNNNNNNNNNNNNNNNNNNNNNNNNNNNNNNNNNNNNNNNNNNNNNNNNNNNNNNNNNNNNNNNNNNNNNNNNNNNNNNNNNNNNNNNNNNNNNNNNNNNNNNNNNNNNNNNNNNNNNNNNNNNNNNNNNNNNNNNNNNNNNNNNNNNNNNNNNNNNUUUCACGGCCCAUACAAGAGCACAGUGCCCAAGUCGAAAAUUGAUACUCAUUCUCUUCUUCCAAUGCAUCUAUGGUAACAAGUACUUUGCUCCUGUCUAUCUAGCUAAUUGUACACGAAUAUGCUCCUACUCUAAUCAUAUAUAAGGUCUAGAAGCAUUCUUGAUCGAGUUAAGGUAAUAUCUAUCUUAUCAUAUCCUUCGAAGCUUUUUAACUACUUCCUCUAGGGAAGCUAUUAUGUUGAACAUGUUCGCAGGUUAUAAUGAAAGCAUUUAGCUCAAAGAAGAGAAAGUCAAGUAGGUCAGGCGAACUUCAAGACUGAAACCGCAAGCUCUUGGUGUGGGGGGGGGGGGGGGGCAGGGCAAAGAUACAGUAAGGCUGUCAAGUAUCAGGCUCAGAUCAUCUGGAGAAUACUCAAAGGAACUCUCGAGUUGGUUGAUAAGGGCAAUUCUAUUCUCCAGCACCUGUUAAAAAUCGAUAUGAAGUUAGCAUGCUGCAAUUGACUUCAUUGCACGAAUGUCAUAUUAAGCCGCUUACUAACAUGUAAUCGCUGUUUCAGAAGAAAAAUGCAAUGUCUGAACUCUGAAAGCAAAUGGAAAUGAACAGAACAAUUAAUUGCUAACUAGCAUCACAACAACCAGACAUGAGACCUCCAAUACAAAUGGGGAGCUUACCAAUGAGCUCGGCAAACACUACUCCCAUCCACCCACACAAAACGCGUCUGCUAGUGUCUAUUGAUUGGCAAUCAAAUUAAUUCCAAGUUUCACGAGCGCGUACCCAAUCAGUGCACCGCUGCGAAUUCAUGGCGGCCUGGACCAAAUCAAACCCUAGGGGGAGGGGAACGGGCGAAGCGGAACCGCGAAACCGGCGCCUCGACGAGAAGCGAGGGAGAUGAUGGCGUACCUCGGAGGAUUUAACCGCCCCUAGGAGGGACUCCAGGUCGCCACACCUCCCCUCCGGCACGCCGCCGUCGACCUCCAUUGCUUGCUCGGUUGCUCCCUCGCUCGGCGCGUGGCUGGUUUUGCCGUUUCCCGCCUCUUCCGUUAGGCGCCCGCGCUCCCACUAAUUGGACUGAGGAAGUAUUUCUCGGGUAGGUGGAGGGUACGCUAAUUAAAAGAAUUAAAUAUAAAUUAAUUGUGAAAUUAAUUGAACGUGACUAACGAGAAGAAUCUAUUAAAUCUAAUUAAUUCAUCAUUAGCUCAUGUACUGUACCACUGCACUAUCAAAUAAUGAACUAAUUAAAUUUAAUAAAUUUAUCUUGUAAUUAAUCUUCAUCUGUGCAAUUAUAUCUCGUAAAUUAAUCAAAAUAUUUAAUGUGAUAGGAAUUAAAGGUGGAACUAAAUAUUCAAUGUAACUUUAGAUGGCUCGGCUAUUUACUUCAACAAAAGUUUGGGCUUAGCAGCGUUGCGGUGGCGCGGGCGGCGGACGUCGGCUAAUGGGCCUUACAAUCUAUUAGUCCGUUCGGCCCAGUCCUAAAGAAGUCUUCAGCUUUGAACGUCUCGUGCUCAAAGCUCAACGACUCAACGUCCUGCUUGGUGGCCAGCAAGUUGCUAGCAGAAAUAUGCAUUAUGCAAUGGUGAUAGCACUCUACGAGAUCGACGCUUUGUUUACGAAAGCCAUUGUCAGAAAGCUAUGCGAACUUUGUGGAGAGGAGGAACGUGUGUAGGCCUAGCUACACAUACAAAUGUACGCUCUCCUAAUUAGCCACUGUGAAUUAGCAUUGUUAUAGCAGUAUACUAUACAACUAUAGGAUCCCUAUAGUAGCAGUACUAUUAACAUAUUUGUUAUUUGCUAAGGCCUUGUUUACUUUCCAAUUUGGGAGUGGCAAAAUUGGUACUUUGCCAUAAAUGCGCAACUGUAGCGUUUCGUUUGUAUUUGUGAAUUAUUGUCCAAAUAUUGACUAAUUAGGCUCAAAAGAUUCAUCUCGCAAAGUACAACAAAACUGUGCAAUUAGUUUUUAAUUUCGUCUACAUUUAGUACUCCAUGCAUGUACCGCAAGUUUGAUGUGAUGGGGAAUCUUCUUUUUGCAUAGUGUCAAAGUUGGGAGUUGGGAGGAAACUAAACAUGGCCUAAGCUUUUCUUCAACUUUUGUAACAGUAUUUUUUACGUCCAAGUGUACAGCAGCACAUGGCAAGGGCUGCCAUGUAUAGUAAACUUUAAGAGCCUGCAAGUAGAUCUCUGCUCAUGACAUGGUCGGCGCCAUUGACGAUCAAUUAUCAAACGAAUUACCCAAACAAUCGGACGGUUAAUAAUCCUUAAAUAAUGUUGAAAGCUGACUGCAUUUGUACAGCGGGCCUCUGCAGUCUGCACAAGGAAAGCUGACUGAUCUGCAUCGGUAUUCCCGUUGAAUUCCAGAAACUUCAGAGCACGGGUGUAGGCCAUUCAUAGGGUGUGUAGUUCGCCACUCGUCUGCAUUUGUACAGACCGCAUCCUUCGUCUUCCUCAGUUCCUCAUCUCAAAUUGAUCAUCUUGUCCAGAGUCCGUUGCUACAGUAUACCGUGCAUGAUUCUAGCUACACUUUCAGCAUGCAACUAAGCGUGGCUAACUCCAUCAUACAACUGGAGAGAGACAUCUCAAUUCGCAUCCUGUGAUCUUGCCUGAGCCUUCUUCCUUUUCGAAUUGGUCAUACCAUGCUUGAAAUGCACUUCAUCAGCACAAGUUGUUUCUCUUUGCCCUUUCCCCGGAUUGAACUUACGCCAUAGCCUUUUCUGAUGCUGACAAUGCUGUUCGUGCUUCUUGAUUCGGCAGCUGUCCAAAUCUGCAGCGAAAGGCGGUGGUGCUCGGUCGCGCCGGGCAGUCGGCGGAGCGAAGGGAGUGGACAAGGCCGCGGCGAACGCGCUGCCGCCUCUGCGGCUCCUCGCCACCCUCGCCGUGAUAGUUUGGACCCUGUUCCUCUACUUGCAAUUCUCCGUGCUCAGCGCCGCGGUGGAGGUGGUGGAGGUGAGCCAUGGUGCUGACAGCGCCGACCCGUGCCGGGGCCGGUACGUCUACGUGCACGACCUGCCGCCGCGCUUCAACGCCGACAUCAUCCGCGACUGCCGCAAGACCGAGGACCACUGGGGCGACAUGUGCGGGUUCAUCAGCAACGCCGGCCUCGGCCGGCCGCUCGCCGACCGCGCCGACGGCGUCAUCACCGGCGAGGCCGGGUGGUACGGCACGCACCAGUUCCCGCUCGACUUCAUCUUCCACAACCGGAUGAAGCAGUACGAGUGCCUCACCAACCACUCCGCCGUGGCCAGCGCCGUGGUCGUCCCGUUAUACGCCGGCUUCGACCUCGCCCGCUACCACUGGGGCUACGACAACGCCACCAGGGACGCCGCGUCCGUGGACCUGGCGGAGUGGCUCAUGGCGCGUCCCCAGUGGCGGCGCAUGGGUGGGCGCGACCACUUCCUCGUCGCCGGCCGGACGGGCUGGGACUUCCGGAGGAGCAACAACGUCGACCCGGACUGGGGCAACGACCUCCUCGCCAUGCCGGCCGGCCGGAACAUGUCGGUGCUCGUGCUCGAGUCCACGUUCCUGCACAGCAGCGACUACUCCGUGCCGUACCCGACCUACUUCCACCCCAGGUCCGACGCCGACGUGCUCCGGUGGCAGGACAGGGUGCGCGGCCAGCGGCGGGAGUGGCUCAUGGCGUUCGUCGGCGCGCCGCGGCCGGACGUUCGAAUGGACAUCCGGAUCCGGGAUCAGGUCAUCGCGCAGUGCAAGGCGUCCAGCGCGUGCGCCCUGCUGGCGUGCGCGCGCGCCCCCGGCAGCCCCCAGUGCCACGCCCCCGGCGACAUCAUGCGGCUUUUCCAGAAGGCAAGCUUCUGCCUGCAGCCGCCUAGGGACUCGUGCACGCGGCGGGUCGGCGUUCGACUCCAUGGUGGCCGGGUGCAUCCCGGUGUUCUUCCACACGGCGUCGGCGUACAGGCAGUACCGGUGGCACCUCCCAAGGACCACCUUCAACUACUCCGUGUACAUCCCNNNNNNNNNNNNNNNNNNNNNNNNNNNNNNNNNNNNNNNNNNNNNNNNNNNNNNNNNNNNNNNNNNNNNNNNNNNNNNNNNNNNNNNNNNNNNNNNNNNNUCAGCGCCAUAAGCUUUGACGCUGGUUGCACAUGUGGCCGUGACCUGGCAGCUCGGCGCUACAGGUCUCGGCGCCGAGCUCCCCAACCAACAAAACUAGCCGUUGCCACUUUCUGCGUAUCACCGACUCAUUCGGUGGUGCGCAAGGGUGGUCACCAUAUCAAUUGGUGGAUGCCACCUCAGCUAGUCGUUGGGCCAUCCACGCCCACUAACGUCUCGGCCCAAAUCACCUAGGUGGUGGUCAAGACAAGCCACCGAACUAGUAAGUGACUUGCCUGGACCCAAGUUCAUCAAUCCAAUAAGAGGUAGAAUUGAACCUCUCACGGGUACCGAAGAACCUUUCGCAUACAAUAGCUACUAAGUAUUUGAGGAUGAGAAAGUACUAACACCAGCAUCAGAUAUCUUUAUAUUUCUUAUACAUUGAAAGCUUGAAUUUAAACAUAAGGUAGCAAGGAAAUACAAUGUAUCAAUACGAGCAUGCCAUAAUUAUUUAAAGAGACUGAUCAAUGGCUAGACAAAUAGCAGCAUCUUUUAUUCUUCCUUAUGCUGACAAACUCGAACCCUUUCAGAUAGAAGGGCAUUUGAGUAAUAACAGGAUUACCUCAUGAAAAAGCUCCAUCUAACAUGCCAGCUUCAAGUUGUUACCUUUUCAUAAAACAUGCCCUAGUACAAACCUCUAGAGGAGGAUGAAAAGAAAGGGUAAAGAGUGGCCCUGAAAACUGAUGGUCUCAAUUGUCUCCCACUAUAUUUAGGAACUGUUCAGCUGAUGCAGGAGAUUAGGUGGUCUGCUCAGGUGGGCAAUCAAUGGCAACGGGCCGACAGCAACAAAAAUGCAGUUCAAUUUGACUGCACAUAACCAAACAAGAAAAAAAGGUGCUUUGUGCAAAAAUAUAAGAUUCAAAGUGAGGAAGAAUUGAAGCUUUUACAAACAUAUAGUUAUAUUUCAAACUAGCACAUGUUUCCCAGAAAAACAAUAACAUUGAUACAGAUAAGGAUUGCAGAAUCAAUCACUCGGUACUUUCUCAUCCUCAAAUACUUAAUAGCUAUUAGCAAGUUACCGACUGAUUCGGUGGCUUGUCUUGACCACCGACCACCGAAUCAGCCGGUGACUUGGGCCCAGGCGUCAGUGGGCGUUGAUGACCCAACGGCUAGCUAAGGUGACACCCACAGAUUGAUACGGUGACCACCCUUGCGCACCACCGAAUGAGUCGAUGAUAUUCCAGAAAGUGGCAACUGCUAGUUUCCUUGGUUGGGGAGCUGUGGCACCGAGCUCGGCGCGAAGAUCCCUGGCCUCGAGCUGCCAGGUCACAGCCAUGUGUGCAGCCCCGCAGACGUAGGCCUGCGACCUCAGCGUCAAAGCUUAUGGUGUCGAGACAUGUUAGCUUGGACGUCGAGAUCAGGGUUUAUUUUUUGAAAUCUUUCUUCCGGAAGCGUAUUUGCGAAAAACUUUAAAAAAAGGCCAAAAAAAAAAUAAAAAAGUCGCCACCGCUGCGAUGGCCGUCUAGCCGGAGCUGCCGCAGCCUCGCGGUCGGGCGUCACGCGUCGGACAGGAGCCGUCAACGCUGCGCAGGUGGGCGGAGCCGCAAAGCGCUGCUCGCCUCGCAGCUCGCACAGCGACACCGUUUCAGCGUGUGGUCAGGAACAUGAACGAGGGGUCCCACAAAUAUCCCAAUCCUAAAAUCAAAAUUCCCAAACAAGGGAUAAGGAUAGCAGGUCUGAUAACUCUCUGUCCCAAUCCCUAUCCCAAUCCUACCUCCGCAUGACCCAUCUCAUUUCCUUUUCCCAUUCCAACCUAACUUCCAAACGUCACCUCAAGACGUGCAAAUCCGGUUUUCCACUCUAAAGACGCAAUUCCGCUCUCAAGAAAUAUGUGCAAAUCCGAUUUGGAAAAUGAUCAUUCAACACUAACAUAAACUCCAUAACAAUUAUUACACCAGAAUGAACUGCAUAACAAAAUUCAUAAAAUAAAACGACGUACAAAUUCUGAUGACCAAACAGGUAACAGUCAAGUUGCUGACACAGUCCACAAAUCUCAUGGAUUCAAGUUCAAGCUGUCUCCGCAUUCCAGUUGACUUCGAUGUUUCCAGUUGACUGAUUAACUCAAAAUACCCAACAGGUGGUGACUCCCUCAAACCUGUAAAUAUGCGACCUCUGCUUCAACAUCACAAGUCCCUUGUGGUCUGUGGUUGGCUUCAGCACCAAUCCAGUAAACACAACGAACCUCUCGAUUACAGGUAUGCAGACUUGAUUGUUCUCAACGUUGACUACCCUUUCAAAAAACUUGGCAACGCAGAACUUGUUAGAGCCCAGAUAGACAAGGUGUGACUUGAGAGGAUCCCAACAACACGGCGGGUUCAGAUCUUCCCAAACCAUGUCCAGCGUUGGUGCACCCUGCGCAGGGGCAGUGAUAUCCGAUGAAGAGCAGAGUAGGUUGUCUUGAGAUGAGAAGCCAAGCCACACACCGUGUUCCGGGAAGAAGUCAGCACGGUCACGGAAGGGCAGCUCCCAGUCACCAGCCUUCCUCCACGAGCAGCUUGAUGUGUCAAAGGAGUAGGUGCCAAUGCCCGGUGUGGAUAUCAAGAUGUUGGAGCCACCGGCAACCGUGUAAGCCCCAAUAAUAAAUCUUCCUUUAUAGCCAGUCUCAAGCACGAAAGGUAGUGGCUGAAGGCAGUGCCAGGUGCUGUUUGGCUUGAACAAAACAUCAUUUGGAAGAUCAACAAUCAGUGCCUCGAAGCUGCGUUGGUUGCUUGGAACUGGCUCUCUGUCCAUAACAUAGAGGGCAUCACCGACGGCAAGGGAGACGGGAUCGCAGCACUUAUACUCAUUAGGAGAGGCGAUCUCAUGCAUGGUACGGCGCUCGACGUCAUACAUGUAGGAAACUCCGUCGAAGUCAACGGCAGCCAAAUAGCUCUUCUUCCGGCCAUGACCAAAGAAGCCGAAGAAUUCCAGCCUUCCUCUGUCCUGUGAAGGGGUGAACGAAAGGUGAGGGCGAGGAAGCGGAGUUUCCUCAAUUGUAAGAGCCUCAUUCACUCGAUUCACUUGAUUUCUUGCGAAGAACAAAUUUGAUGCGUUUAUACGGCGCAGAGGAUACGUUCCGUUCAAAUCGUCCACCAGAAGAUACAAGUACCGCCUCCACCUGUUCAUCUUCGACAAGUGGAUAUUCAAAUCUCUUCUAUGCCGCCUGUAGAAUUGAUACAUAGAAUCACUGAAUAUGAAUAUGAAAGCGUCUUAUCCAGGUCGAUUCUAAACAAUAACUAAUUUUGCCACCAACGCGCUGCACAGUACAUACAUAAAAAUAGGGCAACCCCGAUGGGUGGGGUGCGGUGGAGGUGGGACAGGCGGCGCCGUCCGCCAGGGUCGGCAGCGGGGAGCAGAGCACAGAGGUGGUGACGGGCAGCCGGCGGCUAGGUUAGGAGAGGAAUCUAGGGUUCUACCACGUGGUCCAUUAAAUAUUGCGGUCAAUCUUGACCGUGCGCCGAGCAGAAAAUGGGCUGGGCCGCGUUGCUCUCCAGCGGCUGCUGAUCAGAGCAGGCCGAUCAGCUAAAUCAGCCCAUCAUCGGACCCUUAGGUCAAGUCCAAUAAUGAAUGAUGACGCUCGGUUUUAUUCAGUAUGCCUUACUCACUCCUUUAGGAAAAAAAACGUAUGCUUAUCUACUAUUAAAAAAACCUUCUCAGAUCGGAGCCACUUACCCCUCACAUUGAACCCGCCUAUCAUGUGUUUGUGGGAGGGAAUAGGGUGGAGACCUAUAAAAUCUAUAUUAUAAAAAUCGAAAACAAUUGAAAACCUUUCUUAUCCGGAUCAGGACCACCUUACCCUCACACUAAACCCGCCUUUCAUGUAUUUGGGGAAGAGAAUAGGGUGAAGACCUAUAGAAACUGCAAGAUAGAAAAUGUUUCCGCCAAAAAUGUUAUCUUUUUCUCACCGAACACCGUCCUACUCACUGUUGUACCCACCGUGCCUAAGGGGGUGUUUGGCAGGGAGGGGUUAAAUUUUAGCCCCUGUCACAUCGGAUGUUUGGACACUAAUUAGGAGUAUUAAAUAUAGUCUAAUUACAAAACUAAUUGCACAACCCCUAGGCUAAAUCGCGAGACGAAUCUAUUAAGCCUAAUUAGUUCAUGAUUUGACAUGUGGUGCUACAGUAACCAUUCACUAAUGAUGGAUUAAUUAGGCUUAAUAGAUUCGUCUCGCGAUUUAGCCUAGGGGUUCUGCUAUUAGUUUUGUAAUUAGCUCAUAUUUAAUCCUCCUAAUUAGCAUCCGAACGUGUGAUGUGAUAGGGCUGUUUAGCCCCUAACGUCCAAACACCCCCUAAAUUUCUCCCCCGAACUGCCGGCCGCCGCUCCCUACCGCCAGACCUCCCCGCGGCGUUCCUCUCCCACCCGGUUUAUGAUGUCUCAGUGGUAGUGCCUACUCUUCAGAAUCAAAAGGUCACAAGUUUGACCCCUGCUCUUGACACUCUUGCCUUUUUAUUUUUCUCCCUUUUUAUCAGACUUGUGGGACCCUGCUAGAUUUUAUAACGAAUUGGAACACUUUAUUUCCGAACUCAUGCUUGCAUGGGAGAUCCCCUCUCGGUUUAUGUUGUUUUUGCGGACCUUAUUUUUCAACAAAUGCUUACAUAUGGGACCCUGGUUGGUUUAUGAUAUUUUUUGCGGAGUUUAUAUCGUCACAAAACCACCAUGUAACUGGGAGUGACGAUUUCUUUUGUCUACAGUGGCAACUUUUAUGACGUUAUGUAAUUUUAUCACUAAAUUUGCUCAGAUGUGAAACUUUAUGACGAUUUCAGUCAGAAAUGUCAUAGAUCUAUGACGAUAACAAAUGUACCAUAAAAGUUUCGUCACUAGUCGGCAUAUUUCUUGUAGUGAACAUGGUCGCACCAGUAGACCCGGGUUCGAUUCCUCGUGGGAGCAGAUUUACGGGGCUAGUUUGUUUAAAAAAAAAAUCCCCUCAUCGGCAUAGCCGGGGUUCGGGUUUUUUUUUAAGACCCCGAGGAGGUUACUUCUUCUUAAUGAAAAACUGUAAGCUCUUCACUCCAUCAGGUCUAGUUUUUUUUUCGAGCUGGUACACUAAACAAUGCACACAACAUGGUCAAGCAUCUCCUAUGCUCCUGCAUCGCAUUUGUUUGCUCAAAAGGGAUUUUCCUAUAUGAGUGGAAAUAGGCUGAGUCAAAUGUAGUAGACCGAGUAUUUUGUUUUGGAAAAAAAGUAUAUAUGAAGUCCCCACAUACAUAUAAAAUCUUGUGCUCAUAUAUAUGAAUAAGGAGAACCGGUGGUGGUAGGUAGAUCUCGAGAUAAGUUUGUAUAAGUUCGUACACGGAGGGUUUUUUAAACCAUAAACAUAUUAUCGAUUCAUUAUCUUUUACUGUACAAGUUUGUUGGAAACGUUUGCAAGCUAACGAACAAACUGCUGAGGUCGCUCCGAAUAAUCUAUGCUGCACCGGCAUGCAUUAUAGAAGGUAUCCGGCCCGCUAAUUGUGUCCUGAGGUAUUUGAAAAUUUGUCUCUUAUAGCGGUAUUCUAUCCGUAUAUGAAUUGUUUUCGAAACGGAACGUGUACAUGUAGAUCCUGCUUCCACGUGUCGUCCAUCACAGGGAAAUACUCUUCACGUUUUGAUAAUUGGAUGUCGAAAAUUGAUGCAAAAUAUAUUUUUUUCCAAUAAAAUACCCAGUACAUUUCUUGUGACCCGGCCUAUUCUAAGACACUACUCGUUCGGCCCACGGCCCUCCUUCCGGCCCCACCUUAAAACCUAGCCGCCGCAACCACCUCUCCCGUAGCCGCCUCCCGGCGCCCGGCGUCCGCACCCGGUCGCCAGCCUCCGAGCAGACCCCCGUCAACCUCGGCGACGCCACUUCAGUUCGUUUCUCCGGCGUCGCCACUUCGGGUCCCGUCCACUCUCCGGCGUCGCCUCCUCCAGAUCUGUUGUCUCCCCUCCACAUCUCCAAAUCCACGCCGGCGUCGAGAACAAAGACACUCGUGGGUGCCUUAUCUCUAUCUAUCUAUAACGUGCAAGGCUUAGGUGAUAAAAUUGGUAUUUGUUAAAAAACAACCUGGAUGCAACACUCAUAUAUUCAGAUUCAGUGAUUCUUUGUAUCCAUUGCACAGGCUUUUUGCAGAGAUUUGAGUCUCCACCGGUCGAAGAUGAACAAGUGGCGGCGUUACUUGUAUCUCGUGGUGGACAAUGUGAACGGAACCUACCCUCUGCGCCGUAUAGACGCAUCAACUUUGUUCUACCCAAGAGAUGGAUGGAAAAGACCUCCUAGAUUGCAGGAAACUCCGUUGCCUCACCCCCACCUCCAUUUCACCCCUUCACGUAUCAAGGACGGCAAGGGGGCCCUGGAAUUCUUCGGUUUUUUUGGCCGCGGUCAGAAGAAGAGCCUUUUGGCCGCUGUCGACUACAAGGGAUUUUCCCAGACCUACGAUGCCGAGGACCGCACCAUCCAUGUCAUCGUCUCGCCUAAUGAGCCAAAGCACCACAACCCUGUCUCCCUCGCUGUUGGUGAAGCUCUCUAUGUCAUGGAUAGGAAGCCGGUCCCAGGUAGCUGCUGUGGCUUUGAGGCCCUCACAUUUGACAUGCCGAAGGAAGUGAUGGGCAAGUUGGGCUGGGACUGGUACUGGCACUGCCUCAAGGCACCACCUUUCGUGCUUGAGCCUGGCUACAACAACACAAGCAUCCAGGGUUACACGGUGGUUGGUGGCUUCAACAUCUGGAUAUCCACAAGGGGCAUUGGCACCUACUCAUUUGACACAGAUAAUGGCUCGUGGAGUAAGGCUGGCGACUGGGAGCUGCCCUUCCAUGGUCGUGCUGACUUCUUCCCAGAGCAUGGCAUAUGGCUUGGCUUCUCAUCUCAGGGGAAUCUGCUCUACUCGUCAGACCUCGGAGUCUCUAUGCAGUGUAAACCGGAGUUGGACAUGAUUUGGAAAGAUCCGAACCCACUGGAGGAGUGGAUUCCUCUCAAGUCACACCUUGUGCAUCUGGGGUCUGACAAGUUCUGCGUCGCCAGGAUGUUUGAAAGAGUAGAUAUGACUAUUCGUGGCAGCAUACCUCAUGUUGAGAGGUUUGCCGUCUUCACUGGGUUGGUGCUGCAACCUAGCAGGGAUGGCAAGGAGCCUGAGAUGGUGAAUCACAUUUCUCGAAUAUACAGGUUUCAUGGAAUCACCACCUGUUGGGUUUUCUGAGUUGAAUCAGUCAAACUGGAAGCAUGGAGCCCCCAAAUAGUGCAAAUUGCUAGCUUCUGACCUGUGACAACACCAAUGAGGAUGACACCAAUCUGCAGAGAUGGCUGCUGCUACCAAUUCUUGCCAACAAGGAUGGCUGACGCCAAAUAGCACUUGUUGCUUGGUUUAUUCUGAUUCCAUCGCUUUUGUAAUUUGCACUGUCUUACAUCUAUGCACUUAAUAUUGGUGAAUUGUGUGUUCUGUGCUAGUUUCUGUAGUCAGUUAUUUCGUUUCUUGUAUUUAAUUUAAUUUUUGUUGGUCAUUUAGUUGCUGAUCAUUCAUGCCUUCAAAGUUAAUUCCUUCUGUUAUACGGAGUACUAUAGUAAUCUGAAUAUCUGAUUGUUAGUAGCAUAAAACAAUCGAUGUAAGAUCAGACACUUCAGCUGAAUUCUAGUGUUCUUGGUAACAAUCAAAUGUUUAUUAUCUCUCUCUUGCACACGCACACAGAGAGAUGAGACGAGGUGGAUCUCUGUCCUGUCUUCUGUGUUCUCAACUUGUGCCUGUGGUGCUCUACUGUUUUCACGUAAUUCACCACUAAACAAAUGCGUGCAUGGUAGAGGUGACCUGGACUAAAGUUAAAGACCGGAAUAUUUGCAAAGAUUUACAGAGUCCUUUUGUUCCAAGCCCUGUCAACGAGGUAGGCGAUCGUCCACUAAUACCAGGACCUGAAAUUUUCCGUGAGUCUUCACCGGUUGCACGGCUGCGCCUUGUUCAAGUCGCAGUCUGCAGGUGACUGCCAUAUUGCCAUGGACCGGGGGACGCUGUAGCCGUUCAAGAUCUGUAUGACACGCGGUCCGCCAUGAUUGGCUGCUCUCGCAUGUUGUGGACUGAAUGGAAGUUUAGUCUUUCAGGAGUUCAGAGCAUGCCCGGUUUCGUGAUGGAAAAGAUCAUCGAUGCGCCGCCCGCGCAUCAGAUCAGUUGAUCGACGACUAGCCCAGGAAAAUAUCUUCUCGUUUGCCACAUCAGCGAGAUAGUACGCGCGUCCCAAUCAUCGGUCGCAAAAUAUUCCCCACUCGAUCAUGGCUCGUUUUUUUUACGACGAACAACACGGGUAUAAGCAGAAAAAAUAUAAAAUUAUAUUGCCGAGAGGUCAUAAUCAGGCAAAAAAACAAAAAAAAAGAAGCAUAACCGACGGGUUGGAUUGAGACAUAAACACGCGCGUCGAGCUCAACUCAACUCAAACAACUCAGGCCGGUUGGAUUGGUAUAUCGACGCAAGCCGUACAACUCAUCGCACGAGACAACUCAAUCCGGUUGGAUUGGGACAUCAAUACGGAUCACAACAACAAACUCCGCCCGGUCGGAUUGGGAUAGCAAGCCUCCAAAGGUUGGGCAAAACAACACCCGACAGCGGUAGCAAUACCGAAGUCUUACCGCAGUACCCACCAACAUUCUCGCUCAUGUAGUCACCGAGGGUGUGUUUGGUUAGUUGUAUCAUUUGAUUCAUGUAUCAAAUGAUUCAAAAUAAUAAUGAUCCUUUUGUUUGGUUGGGUGAAUUGGACCAACUCAUCCAGGAUGAGGCCAUCCCACUUAAUACAUUAUUCUACUAAUUAGAGUGAACCAUAUGGUACAAGCAAAUUGAUUGAACCACCCCAUCCAGGAUCAUCCAUGCAUGCAUCAUGUGGUGCAUGCAACCAAACACACUCCGAACUUCCAGGCGUGACCCUAUGUCGACAGGGACCAGAAAAAGCAGACUGCACCGCACCGAGAAGGCCACCGCUAUGCGGGACCCUCCACUGUAGUGUCGCUGCACCAUCACACGCCACCUAACAGAGUGAUAACACCGAAUCCGGACUUCUCGCAGGUUGCCUCGAAGUCGCCACCACGAAAACACAAUACAUGGGGGAGCUCACCUCAUCCACCGUCGGACUCCACCUCGCUCUCGUCGCCUCGAAGAAACACCACACGCAGGGGCCUCGCCACGCCCGCCAUAGUACUCCACAUCACGGAUCCGUUUCUUUUGUCACCGUCGGUAUGGUGAGCAAUGUUGCCCCGUGCUCCAAAAUCUCCAUCAAACGGCCAAGCCACCGCCACAGGUCGACUUCACCUCGUUGCUUCGCCCGCGCACAUAACGUCCACCACUAUGUCAGCAAACCAAAGAAAUCGCUUGCGCCGUCUUCUGACGAUGUACCACACCGGAAAGCCCAACCAAGCUGAGUAACCCACCGCGGUCCGCUGCAAGCCUAGUCGUCCCAUGAUACCAUUGCCGCAAGCGUCGUCCUUCGAUGUAGUCACAUGCCGCACUGACCGUUGCCAAGCAACGCCAGCCGCCACGGUCCGCUGCAAGCAGCCAAACCCGACAACCAUGUGUCAACCCAUGGCCGCCACCAUAGCUGCGAACGCCUCCAUGUGGGCUCGACAACCCCCGUCCAGCUUGCCACGUGGUGGAAUUGCCGCCACCGACUGCGGCCACCCAUGACCAAUGGACCAGCAAUGCCAAAAAUUGAGAUAGAUCUAUAGAGACGACACCUCCAAGGAGGGCACGAAGCCAAAGGUGCCAUCAUCGCUCGUCUAGAAUCUGGAUAGGAUUUUAAAAAAUAACGUCCCAACAGGGAAAACGACACCCUAGGACGCUGUCGUCAUCUCCACUAGCAAAAGCGGCAGCGAGGGCUUUCGCCCGAUGCAUCCAACCGCUCGUUGCACGCUCACGACUCGACACUCCCGGACCAUAGCCACGGCUGCCCGUCCAGUGUGGCACCGCCGCCAUAGCUUCACCUCCGCUGUGCUUGCCGACCAGCUGCGCUCGCCACCACUCGACCUCUUCUCGUCGCACGCGGCCAUCACCACGCCGCCACAUCUUCACGCGCGUCGCCCCGCACGUAGCCUCCCUCGCCUGUCCGCCGGCCGGAGGCCUCGUCGCGACUCGCCGGGCCGGCCUCCUCCCGGCCACACCACCGCGCCGCUCACCGCAGCGGCCUCGUCGUGCGGCAUCUCCCAGUCAACGCACCUCGCGCCGCAUCGGGCCGCCGCCGCGCUUCCCGCCGGCUGCCGCAGCCCGACCACCUCGCGCCGCAUCAGCCCGCCGCCGUGCUUCAUUCCCAGGUAGCUGCUGUGGCUUUGAGGCCCUCACAUUUGACAUGCCUAAGGAAGUGAUGGGCAAGUUGGGCGGGGACUGGUACUGGCACUGCCUCAAGGCACCACCUUUCGUGCUUGAGCCUGGCUACAACAACACAAGCAUCCAGGGUUACACGGUGGUUGGUGGCUUCAACAUCUGGAUAUCCACAAGGGGCAUUGGCACCUACUCAUUUGACACAGAUAAUGGCUCGUGGAGUAAGGCUGGCGACUGGGAGCUGCCCUUCCAUGGUCGUGCUGACUUCUUCCCAGAGCAUGGCAUAUGGCUUGGCUUCUCAUCUCAGGGGAAUCUGCUCUACUCGUCAGACCUCGGAGUCUCUAUGCAGUGUAAACCGGAGUUGGACAUGAUUUGGAAAGAUCUGAGCCCACUGGAGGAGUGGAUUCCUCUCAAGUCACACCUUGUGCAUCUGGGGUCUGACAAGUUCUGCGUCGCCAGGAUGUUUGAAAGAGUAGAUAUGACUAUUCGUGGCAGCAUACCUCAUGUUGAGAGGUUUGCCGUCUUCACUGGGUUGGUGCUGCAACCUAGCAGGGAUGGCAAGGAGCCUGAGAUGGUGAAUCACAUUUCUCGAAUAUACAGGUUUCAUGACCACCUGUUGGGUUUUCUGAGUUGAAUCAGUCAAACUGGAAGCAUGGAGCCCCCAAAUAGUGCAAAUUGCUAGCUUCUGACCUGUGACAACACCAAUGAGGAUGACGCCAAUCUGCAGAGAUGGCUGCUGCUACCAAUUCUUGCCAACAAGGAUGGCUGACGCCAAAUAGCACUUGUUGCUUGGUUUAUCCUGAUUCCAUCGCUUUUGUAAUUUGCACUGUCUUACAUGUAUGCACUCAAUAUCGGUGAAUUGUGUGGUCUGUGCUAGUUUGUGCAGUCAGUUAUUUCGUUUCUCGUAUUUAAUUUAAUUUUUGUUGGUCAUUUAGUUGCUGAUCAUUCAUGCCUUCAAAGUUAUUUCCUUCUGUUAUACUACAGUAAUCUGAAUAUCUGAUUGUUAGUAGCAUAUUCGUUUCAGUUACUGUUUAGUGCUGCUUAUUCUACCUGGUUAUAGAUUGAUUGUUUAUUCAUUUAAUGAAAUUCAGUGCUAAGAGUUGACCCGUAAUCCUCGGUAAAUUUGGAUUAUAUAGACGUUUAUUUUUAGCAAUAGCUGUGCUUGCUGCAGUUUCAGCAAUUCACAUUUCGCACAUUUCUUUCGAUAUGGUAGUUUUCAGUAGUGUUUCAGUUGGCAUCUUUCUUGCCACUUGGCUACCUGCAACCCUUUCCCCUACUUUACAUUUAUCAAUGCCCCACUUCUCUACUAAGUGAUAGUCUCUUUAGUACAAAUUAAUUAUAUCUCUUCUUUUUUCUUCUUCUUUUAUUCCUUGUCUCUAAUGUCUCUAAUUUGCGCCUCUACCUAUGGAUGCUCUUAAGCGACGCGCAGCCUACUCUCUCGUUUUUCCAAUCAUUCUUUACCCCCUCUUCUGAUCCUUACUAUCUCCUUUUCUACUUUUCUUCCCUCCUCCCUCGUACCCAUUUAUCUCCAUUGUGCUCAAGUGCCCAACACCUUCCCCUUAUAAUUCUGCAUAGGGUCAGCCCUUUUUCCAUCCAUUUUGAGUCAAAGCGUGUUCAACGGUACACUAGUCAGUGCACAGAACAUGGUUGAGCAUCUCUCGUGCUCCUGCGUAACAUUUGUUUGCUCGAAAGGGAUUUCCUAGAUGAGUGGAAAUAGGCUUAGUCAAUGCAGUAGACUGAGUAUUUUGUUUUGGAAAAAAAAACAGUAUAUAUGAAGUCCCCACAUACGUAUAAAAUCGCGUGCUAUAUGAAUAAGGAGAAUUGGUAGGUAGAUCUUGAGAUAAGUUUGUAUAAGUUCAUACGCUGAGAGUUUUUUUUGGAACAAUAAACAUAUUAUCGAUUCAUUGUCCUUUAGUGUACAAGUUUGCCAAGUGGAAACAUCUGCAAGCUAAAAAUAUGCAGACGGCCUAUCUAUCUUGCAAUGUGCAGAUGAUACGAUCUUAUUCAUGAUCAAAGCUCACCUUUAUUCUCAUAUCUCGAUUAUUAUGUCCCCAAAAGGCUCUUAAAGCUCCAAACACAUAGCAUAAGUUGCCAAAUCUCUUGUACAUAGAAGCAAAAUACUCUGCCUUAGCACUCCUGCAGGUACACCAUUUUUCUUCUUUUGAAAUCGUCCACUGAAUAUAAGUUUCGUAUGGCUAUGUUUCACUUACAAAUGGAUGUUUGCAACAUUAACGAAGAAGUGUGGUUCUCUGUUUGGACCCUCCAUCACGCCUAUGUCUAGUUUUGAUUUUACUCCUGCAAAAAAGAUCCAUUAGUGAUCUCAGAUUUAGAGAUUAUAAAUCCAUCAAGUAAACAACCAGCAUAUUACAUGACCCAACCCUUAGUUCCACAAAUGUUAGAAAAAGAUGGACAGGGGAAUAGAGAAGUCGUAUAAUUUCUAUGUUUGACUGAUGCGAAUUUUUGUCUCUCUUAAUUUAAGAAUACUGCAAUAAGUAAUACAAGACACAUAAUACUGAAUCGCUAUGUUCUGUUUACAGCAUAUUCAUGUAUUUUAAUAGGUAAUAGGGAAAGAACUACAAUUGUUCAUCCAUUAACAUAAAAAGACUUAAAUAUCACUUCAAACACCAUAAAGAAAGAAAGUAAGGAAGAAACCUCUCACAAUUCGAUCAAUCGCGUCAUGAGGAUCAUUCGUCCUGGAUUAAAGAAAACAAUAACACCAAUUUAGUGAAAAUAGAGGCUAACAAAUAACCAUGUCAUGUGCAGAUUAAGCAGGAAAGGAAACAAACAUACCAGUCAAAUGUCCUUGCAAAAUCUGAGCCAGUUCCAAGUGGAAUAAGCUAUCAGUAUUAGUGUAUAAAACAAACAAUUUAGAACAUAAUUAUUGCUAUAGUUUAAGUAUCUAAAAGUUAAAAGGGCAUGGCAUAUGGGCACUCACACCAAGUGUCGUUGAAUGGUCAGGCCCUCCAUCAAGAGCACGCACUGGACUUCCUUUCCAAAACAAGUCAUUCACCAACUACAUAUUCAAAAUAAUAUCCCCAACUCUAUGACCAUAUGCACUCCCAAUUUCAAUAGUUGGAAAAUGUAAACUCGUUUUAGAGGUUGUACAAACAAUAUACACAAUUCCAACUAUAUUUAGCAUGGUUAUACAAACAAUCUACACACAUGAAUACCUCAUGAAGCGUACCAUCGCCGCCAACAGCGAUCACUGCAUCAGCCCCAUCCUUUAUAGCCUGCAGUAAGUACACUAUUACUAGUGCUUAGAAGAAAGACAGUCGCCAAGUGGACCUCAGUAUUUAACAAGGGGACACGCACACACCUCCCUUGUGACAUCUAUGGCGUGGGACGGGCCCGAAGUGAAGCACUCGCAAAUCUGAUCAACCAACACCAACAAACGAAAACAUUCUGUGAGACUGAGACCGCCUAAUCACCACCAGAUCUGAGACCAAACGCGGGUUUCAGUCGGCAAUUACAAAUCCCUGAAAGCUAUGGACGGCGGGCUUACGUUGCACUAGUCGGCGAGGCGGGUGCGGAGGUGUGGGAGCAGCUGCUUCCAUUGGCGCCUGCACCCCGGAGUACGCGCAACGAGAACGGCGUUCAGUGCGCAAAUUCGUUAGGGAACUGGCGGGGGCGGAGGGGGAGCGUACCGGAGGGGUUGACGACGAAAACGAAGGCGCCACGCCGGCGGUGGGAGGCGGCGACACGGUCGGAGGUGAGACCGCCGGCUCUGGGCUGGGAGUGGGAGUGCGAGGAGGCACGCGGGAGGAUCAGCGAAGCCCUCGGUGUCGCCGGCGCGGCCAUGGCGCCGCUUGCCGCUUAUCCCCCGCCUUGGCUUUAGAGAAGGAAACACACUGCCGUGUGACGUGAAAGGCGCCGCCGGCUGCCCAAGUACGCCGUGUGAAGGAUGAAGCCGACUUCCUUAAUCACGUGUCCCCUGUGGUUCAAUUCUGGCCUGCUGAUUCGUGUGCAGUCACCACUCACCAGUCAGUUGUCUAUUCAGAUGAUCAUCAGUCCGGCACGCCUCAUCAGUUUUUCGGUGUUUUCGUAACGAAAAUUUCUCGCACGAAUUCGAAUUGCAGCAAUGCAUUGGCCUAGGAGAUAGACUUUCUGAACUUGAAUGGCAGAUUAGUUUUCUUUUGAUGCGUUUUACAGUUCAUUCUCUGAAUGUAGAGGGGUGGCAGAUUGAUGUGCAUGGCCAGGCAACAAGACGCUAAUGCGACGUGCAAAACAAUUUGCAAGCAAAGAAGUACCAUGCAUAGCACAAUCACGUCCAGUUUAUAUUUCCACGGUUUGUAGACUAAGGCCCAGCAAGAACAGCUAGAGAUACAUCAAAUGUACUGCUAAGUGCGAACAUAUAGAUUAGCAGCACUGCACCUAAUAACAAAAUUUUGCAAAAUUCAACCUCCGCAUCUGCGAAAGGGUUUGAUUCCUUAACUAUACUACAGAGCUCAAUGUGCUCCCUACUUCUGUUACAAAUCUCAAGCAACAACAAAUCCGAGCACCGGACACCUCAACCCUGCACUGCUGCCCCAAGACUCCGUUAUCUGCUUCACUUUCAAGACACAAGAUGUACUUUCUUGCCAUCCACGUUGAAUUUCCUGCUCCCUUGAAGCUGAAGAACACAAUGAGACGGAACAGAAAUCAACAUUGAGCAGCAAAAUAACCAUUCCUCAAUCGAAAAAGAACAAUGUUGCAUCUAAAGUUACUGACAGCUUAUGAUACAUGAGCAAAUAAUCAUAGCAGCUAAUGACUAAAUAGUAAAUACUGUUUAGAGAAACAGACAGCAAGAGUUGGCUCCUUUCCAUUUUUUGGCAGGAUAGAUAUCCAAUGCAACUGAUCAUGUGCAGAUAUGUAUAUGAGCAUACCUUCUUCAGAAACAACAUAGCUUCACGUCUACAAGAGAAGCUGGAGAAUACAGCAUUUGAACGUUCUUCGACGGCUACCUUAAGAUCCUUCAAUUUCAUUGACUGAGAUGCAUGGGGCCUGGAAAGAACAAUAGUCAGUAGCAAUCAUAUACCAGAGCACAGCACAUUAAGUACUCACAUAGAAGACAGACUGUACCUCACGAAGUAUUCUUUUGCAAAGUUUCUUGACCUUGGUUUUGGAUUUAACAUCCGCAUGCAAUACUUUAUCUGUACUCUUCUGUGUGUCAAUCGAUUCAACAGUAGUGGCAGGUUGUUCCUCAUUGUCAUCUUCUUCAAUUUCUGAAUAUUCAUCAUCGGACUGGGCUGGACUAUCUUCAUCACUAUCACCAAAUGAAGUUUUGUUUCCCUUCCAACGAUGGCCAGCAAUUUUCAUUGGCAGGCCCUUUAUGCCAAGACCCUGCUUGCCUGAAGUAGCUUUAUCCUGCAGCAAAUCACAGACCAUGCAUAUAUUAAGAAUUCAGGUACAUUUAAUUGUUUUAAAGAACAUGUCUGUUAUGUAAUCACGCACACAAUUAUCAAUGUAAUAAAUCAACAUCUAGGUUUGUUCAUCAAGUGAAAAUGGCAUAAUGUAAUCUAUGCGGAGUGAAAUGAAUUGAUAAUUUUGCUUAAGAGGUAGUUGAAAGACUGUAAAAUCACAUCUUGAGUGCACUCAGCAUUCACAUCACAUCUCCAAAUUUGAAAACUAAAAUAGCAAGAUCUCUGUUUAACAUCACUAUAAUCUGUGUACAGCACAUCAUACCAAUCAACCUGAACAAGAUUGUACAGAUUUUCUUGAUCUUCCUCCGCAAAUGUCUGGCGGACAUUAGAAGGAUCUUUUCGUGAAGAUCUUUUUUUACGAGAUGUUGCUCCAAGAAACCCUCCUGACACAAAUCCAAAUUUGUGCCCCCACCAGUUUACAUCUUCAGCUUGGGAUACUGCACAAGCAAAGAGUUGACAAAGCAAGUUACUAAAACCUCUAUGAAAUUUAGCACACAAUGAAGAAAAGGUACAAAUGUAAGAGCACAACAAGCAUGCAUUUCUUCAGCAGCGCUAGAUGUAGAUACAGUACCUAUUUUUUCUAAUAAGCAUGAGACUACAGCAUAGCAAACAAAACAUAAAAUCGUAGUAAUAUCUAUUACAUGCUAAGUGGACAAUCUAAAAUUCCCAGGUAAUUUUUGGUAGCAGGAAAGGGUGGGCCUGACUACUGUACUUGUACUUCUGGUUUAAAAGAACAAAAAAAAUUGCAUAAUAAACCUGAUUUAAUUUCAAGAACUCAGAUUUCAAUAGCUAAUGUGCGUGCCAUGGCAUAUUUAGAGCAUUGUUUGUUUAGCUCCUAGAAUGUAGUUCUAGCAUCGUACUAAAAGUAAGGCACCUCAGAUCAAUAAGGAAAUAACAGGCCAGAAGCUUGUGCAACAUAGUUAAGCCAGGGGAAAAAACAGCUGGUGAAAUUGAAAAGCACAAACUGCUUAGUGCUGACCUGCAUCUGGGCAGAUGAUAGGAUCAGGUUCAUCCAAGCAUGUAGAUUCAACUUUCUGAUCCAUUUGGCAAUUAUCUUCGUUUUUGCGUACCUGUGCCAAGACAGGUUGCUUUAGAGAUCCAAACAAGGCAAAUUAUUUAAUAAUCUCUUCUUGAGAAUUGUAGCUUAAGUUUCAAAUGCUCGCAGGAGAAUCCAGCGGAGUAGCGCAUGUAGGCCCCCGCCGCAUGCACGCCGCGCGCCCACACACAGACGACGCAUAUCGUGCGUCCACGAAGAUUUCCUCCGCCCAUCGGCGAACUCCAUGGUCCGCCAUCAGAUUUCCCUCCGCCGAUCGGCCAUGGCUCGCUCGCAGGAAACCCGGCCAGAUUGUUGUGGUGAUCUACUUGUAUCUCUAGCGCCCUGCACCAUGGCUGCCUGGUGUACGAACCCAGUCGAUGUCAUCGCAUGGAUCAGUUCGUUCGUUCGAAAUUGAAGCUCUCGGCGUGCAAAGCACUGUUGCCAUGUGGUACACUGUGCAGGAGGUCAGGUGGAUCGAACGCAGGUGUGCGAGACUAGUGUGGUGAGUGGUGACCCAUCACAACACAAAUGAUUUUGCUCGCAUGCGAUGGACGAGGGCCAUGAUCUGAUCCGAUCCGUGGUGUUCAUAAUUCUUCCCGAGUCCCUUUCGUCCACAUGCAUGCUUUAAGACACGUACGGUCUCGGCUUAACAAAGAGUAGUUAAAGGAGAGAUUGCAUGCGUGCGCGCCGGACUGUUUAUCAUGUUGUCAUUUGACAGGAUAGAUCGAUCGAGGAGGGUGAUGGAGAUGGCGUCGCGGACGGCCGUGUCGGCAUUGCCGUGGCACCACUCCAUGCUCGACGUGGAUGCGCGCGCCGGGCUCGCCGGCGCGACCCUGGGCCUCGGUGCCGAGAACCGCCGGAGAGCCCUGACCUUGCGGUAAAGCGGCAUCAGGAACCGGAGGUACUGCACCAGUAUCUUCCACGACGACGACCGGCCGCGCCUGCCUGCGGCGAAGAGCGGCGGCGGCCCGAUGGAGGCGUUCUUGCCGCCGGCGACGCCGCUCCUGCCGCUGGAACACGAGCUCAGCGAGGCCGGCGUUCUCUGGGCCGAGCGGUACAGCGGCGACGAGGGCGACGACCGCGGCGCGCUGGGCAGGUCGGCGACGCGGUCCCCGUGAUGUUCUCGGGCACCGGAGUGGCGGCAGACGGGCUCGCUGGGCAGGAGGCGGCCGUCGCGGAUGAUCUGGCUGGCGCUGACCAGCACCGGGGACGGCGGGUCACUGCUCACGCUGCCGCCCCCGGGCAAGCCGAACUCGAAGUCGCUCUCCGGCGGCGGCGCCGUGGUGGUCCACCGCAUGGAGAAGAGCUCGGCGGGGUCCAUGUCGAUGAAGGACCUGGAGCUGCCGAAGGAAUAGCCGAGGUCGGCGUCGGCGAACGGCGGCAUCGCCUGCGCGCUGCGCUUGAGCCAGCCGCGGGAGAAGCUGUCGCCGAGGUGCUGCAGCGAGGCGACCUCCAUGAGCGCGGCCGGGCGUCGUGCGCGAGUUACCAGAGCACGCGGUGAUGGGGGUGAGCGAUGCGUGCGCAAUCAAUCGGACGGAGGGCCAAAUUGUUUCCUGCGUUUUCUUUUGUUUUCCCCGUUGCGGGCGGGGCUCUCAGCUUUCCUCCCCUUUCUCACUUCCGCCAUCUCUCCUCUUUUCCCCCCUCGCCAAUUUUAUCUCGCGCGCGCGCAAAAGAAAAGGGUGGCGUACUUUGGACGGACACGCACCAGCGCGGCCGUGGGAGCAGGGCGGACCCACUGUUGUGCCCGGCAUACCCAAUAUUUUUGGAAAAUUUUUUAGUAGUUCUUGCAGCUAUAUAUAUAUGUAUAAUAUAGUUUAGGGCUCCAAUUCGCGUCCAGACCAACCUGGCCCGCAGACCACACCCCGCCGGCCGGCCCAUCGGCCCAUCUAACCACUGAUCCCCCCACCACCACACUAAGCCCGUCAGCCGGUCAGGUCCCGAGCUCCUGCCUGACCUAGUCCGCUACCGCCGCCAGGCGCCAGGCACAGCCGCACGCACCGCGCCGCCCCCGUCCACCCACGUCCGCCGCGCGGCCGCGCCGCGGCGCCGUCCCGCGCCCCCCGGCCCCCGCGGCGAGAUCCCGUCGCCCGCCGCCGCCAGACCCCUUCAGGCCUCCGCCGGCAGGUCUACCCGCGGUCCCGCGCGGCGCUGCGGCCUCUCUGCUCUCGGCGCUCGGCGCUCGCGGCGCUCCGGCGCCGGCGCAGCCCCACCAGGCGACCGCCCCCCCUCGGGCCUCGGCCCCUCCCCGGCUCCCCCCGCCCCCCACCAGGACUGCCUGCUGCCCCCCACCGCGAGGUAAGCGAAAUCGACUGCUCAAUCUCUCAACCCGUUGACAUGAUGCACACGGUUGUAAAAAUAGAUGUGUCAGAAUAGAUGCAUUGCCAAUUGCUAUAGAUGCACACGGUUGACAUGAAGAAGUCAAAAAUGACAUUUGGUUCCUUGUAGGCAGUACAAAAUGAAGAAGUCAAAAAAUAUUGAUCUGAAAUCAACGUGGGAAAGGGCUACGAAGACACGCAUGUAGAUUCUCUUCUGAACUUUUUAGGUUGUUCGUCUAAAUAUUUUUUUUCAAUGGGCAUACCCUACUUUGAAAUCCUAGGUCCGUCAUUGGGAGCAAGCACCGGUCCCACGCUGCGUUAGUCUGUAGCAAUCAUAUACCAGAGCACAGCACAUUAAGUACUCACAUAGAAGACAGACUGUACCUCACGAAGUAUUCUUUUGCAAAGUUUCUUGACCUUGGUUUUGGAUUUAACAUCCGCAUGCAAUACUUUAUCUGUAUUCUUCUGUGUGUCAAUCGAUUCAACAGUAGUGGCAGGUUGUUCCUCAUUGUCAUCUUCUUCAAUUUCCGAAUAUUCAUCGGACUGGGCUGGACUAUCUUCAUCACUAUCACCAAAUGAAGUUUUGUUUCCCUUCCAACGAUGGCCAGCAAUUUUCAUUGGCAGGCCCUUUAUGCCAAGACCCUGCUUGCCUGAAGUAGCUUUAUCCUGCAGCAAAUCACAGACCAUGCAUAUAUUAAGAAUUCAGGUACAUUUAAUUGUUUUAAAGAACAUGUCUGUUAUGUAAUCACGCACACAAUUAUCAAUGUAAUAAAUCAACAUCUAGGUUUGUUCAUCAAGUGAAAAUGGCAUAAUGUAAUCUCUGCGGAGUGAAAUGAAUUGAUAAUUUUGCUUAAGAGGUAGUUGAAAGACUGUAAAAUCACAUCUUGAGUGCACUCAGCAUUCACAUCACAUCUCCAAAUUUGAAAACUAAAAUAGCAAGAUCUCUGUUUAACAUCACUAUAAUCUGUGUACAGCACAUCAUACCAAUCAACCUGAACAAGAUUGUACAGAUUUUCUUGAUCUUCCUCCACAAAUGUCUGGCGGACAUUAGAAGGAUCUUUUCGUGAAGAUCUUUUUUUACGAGAUGUUGCUCCAAGAAACCCUCCUGAUACAAAUCCAAAUUUGUGCCCCCACCAGUUUACAUCUUCAGCUUGGGAUACUGCACAAGCAAAGAGUUGACAAAGCAAGUUACUAAAACCUCUAUGAAAUUUAGCACACAAUGAAGAAAAGGUACAAAGGUAAUCGAAAUCGACUGCUCAAUCUGUUGACAUGGUGCACACGGUUGUAAAAAUAGAUGUGUCAAAAUAGAUGUAUUGCCAAUUGCUAUAGAUGCACACGGUUGACAUGAAGAAGUCAAAAAUGACAUUUGGUUCCUUGUAGGCAGUACAAAAUGAAGAAGUCAAAAAAUAUUGAUCUGAAAUCACCGUGGGAAUGGGCUACAAAGACACGUAUGUAGAUUCUCUUGUGAACUUUUUUUAUGUUGUUCGUCUAAAUAUUUUUUUUCAAUGGGCAUACCCUACUCUGAAAUCCUGGGUCCGCCACUGGGAGCAAGCACCGGUCCCACGCGUUAGGGAAGUGGGAGGCGGGCGGGUAGGGUGCGGGCGAGGUGGCGACAAGGCCUCCACUGGAGGGGAAGGCUUGAGGCCUGGAGCGCGUGCAUCGGUGGCCGCUGUUCAGAGUCAGAGAGGAGCGCGAGGUGGGCGGGGCUGGUCAGAGGGAGGAUGCCGCCGUGGUCGGUCGGUGUGGGGCCCGGGGUUGCCCGAGGCCGAUUCUAGGUAGGCCAGGGCAUCUCGGCACGCACACAUAUAGGUGCAUCUCAUUGGAUCAAGCUAUCCAAACGACAUCGCUACUGAUCUGAUCAUGAUUAAGUGUUAUGCUAGUAUAGUUUAGAUGCAUGUGGGAGUAGAGUUGUAGAAGUAGGAGAGCUGCUGCUGCUGUCCACAUGCUUUUAACACCGAACUCCAAGUGGCCGUAGCUUCUAACUCGUCACCAUGCAGCAGCUUGACCAUCGUAAAAGUAACAUCAUUCAAAGUUUAAAAGUUCUCAAUCUGAUUGUUGUCUGUCAGAUCAUACUUUGUGUUCUUAAACUUAAACGUCUCGAUUCAUGAGACGAUUAAGUUUUCUAGCGAAAACUGCUCCUUACCGAGUGUCCACCCCUCCCUGUGUGCUUGCACCAUCAAAUCCUUUAGGCUUUUCAUCGAGAACUUGCCACCAUUAGUUAGAAGCCUCGACCACUUGGGGUUCGAUGUUAAUAGCAUGUGGAGACCUUCGUUAGGACCAAUCACCUCAAUCAGCAUAGAAUUUUCUUUGAAAUGGUUAACUGGAUUCUUGUACAGUAAGUGGUAACAAUCUUUAUCAACGCAGUUGACAGUACAACUUUCUUGUAAUAGAGGUGCAAUGGUUAUCAACAUUAUAUUGUUGUGCCUGCUUAUUUACGUAAAGAUAAGUAAUUCAAUUUACAAGAUAAUUUUCACUCUAGGAAGACUAGUUGUAAGGUUAGGUUAUAAUAGCUUAACGAAAGUCGUACUUUCCAUGCAACAAUUACAUCUCAUUCAUUUAACGAAACAACGAAACAAACCUUGGAAAAACUGCUCAAACCGAAGAUUGUGAAAGAGGUCUAUCAUUUUUUCUUCCUCUCACGAAACUUAAUAGCGCCUCUAAUUAUCUGCGGUAACCACCUUAGAAACUUAUACUGCAGCAGCACAUAGAUUGCCUUAGGUUGGUAAUAGGGUACGACAAUUGAACUUUGGUUCCCUGACCCUCCAAGCAAUCGUGUCAUGACGGUUAGGGACAGAUUGCUCGGAAUCUUUCCCUGGUGGCUCAGGCAGUGGGCAAUGAUGUGUCGUGGAAAGAUGAUGACAUGUCUCUCAUUUUUGACAUUGUAUCUUCCUUUGAUAUGACUGAACAAGUGGUCCAACCAUGGAUCAUUGGUUGAUAUGAUGGUUCAGUCAUCUUAAGGAACAACUGGUGUUCUCCAGGACAAGUUUCUUUAGUAUAUGUGCAGCAUCAAAUGUAUGUGUCGAUAACAACCUGCUGUCGUCCUCCAUGAACAACUCGUGGAAUUUCAUAAAUGCUGGUCCAUAGCAAGACACAGGAAGAAGUGCUGGGUAUAAGUCAAUCCACAAGGUAGUUAGCUUGGGGUUGGCGAUCGUUCUCAGAUCAGCAAUCAUCAUCAUGAAAUCGUUUGCCAAGAAGCUAAUGAUGUCAUCACCAUGCAGCAGCUUGACCAGCGUAAAAAUAACAUCACUCGAAGCAAAAAAAGUAUCAAUCUGAUUGUCGUCUGUCAAAUCAUACAUAAUAAGCGCGUUCUGAAACUUAAAUGUCCUAAUUUAUGAGACGAUUAAGUUUUCCAGCGAAAGCUGCUCCUUACCGAGUGUCCACCCGUCCCUGUGUGCUUGCACCAUCAAAUCCUUUAGGUUUUUCAUCGAGAACUUGCCACCAUCAGUUAGAAGCCACGACCACUUGAGGUUCGGUGUUAAUAGCAUAUGGAAACCUUCGUUGGGAUUAGUCACCUCAAUCAGCAUAGGAUUUUCCUUGAAAUGGUCAACUGGAUUUUUGUACAGUAGGUGGUAACAAUCUUUGACAGUUGAGAGUACAACCUUCCUGUAAUAGAGGUGCAAUGGUUAUCAACAUUAUAUUGUUGUGCCUGCUUAUUUAUGUAAAGGUUAGUAAUUCAAUUUGCAAGAUAAUUUCCAAUCUAGGAGGUCCAGUCUGCAAGUUUAGGUCAAGUAGCUUAACGAAAGUCGUACUUUCCAUGUAACAAUUACAACUUAUUCACUUAACGAAACAACCAAACAUACCUUAGAAAAACUACUCAAACCGAAGAUUGUGAAAGAGGUACACCAUUUUCUUACUCUCAUGGAGCUCAAUAGCGCUUCUAAUUAUCUGCGGUAACCACCUUGGGAACUUGUACUGUAGCAGCACAUAGAUUGCCUCAGGUUAGUAAUAGGGUACGGCAAUUGAACUUUUGUUCCCUGACCCUUCAAGCAAUCGCGUCAUGGCGGUUGGGGGAUGGAUUUCUCGGAAUCUUUCCCCGGUGGUCAGGCAGGGGGUGAUGAUUUGUCGUGGAAAUAUGAUGACUUCUCUCUUAUUUUUUAUAAUGUAUUUUUCUUUGAUGUAACUGAAUCACGUAGUCCAACCAUGGAUCAUUGUUUGAUAUGAUGGUCCAGUCAUCAUCAGGAACAGUUGGUAUUCUGUAGGACAAGUUCUUCAGUAUAGGUGUAACAUCAGAUGUAUGUGUCGACAACAACCCGCUGUCGUCCCGCAUGAACUAUUCGUGUAAUUUCAUAAAUACUGGUCCAUUGUAAGACACAUGAAGAAGUGUUGGGUAUAAGUUAAUCCACAAGGUAGCUAGCUUGGGGUUGGCGAUCGUUCUGAGAUCAGCAAUCAUCAUGAAAUCGUCCGGUAUGAAGCUAAUGAUGUCAUUAGCAUGCAGCAGCUUGACUAGCGUAAGAGUAACAUCACUCGAAAGCUAAGAAGUCUUCAAUCUGAUUGUCGUCUGUCAGAUCAUGACUUAAUGAGCGCGGUCUUCNNNNNNNNNNNNNNNNNNNNNNNNNNNNNNNNNNNNNNNNNNNNNNNNNNNNNNNNNNNNNNNNNNNNNNNNNNNNNNNNNNNNNNNNNNNNNNNNNNNNUAGGGGUGGGUGGCCACUCGGUAAGGAGCAGUUUUCGCUAGAAAACUUAAUCGUCUCAUAAAUAAGGACGUUUAAGUUUCAGAACGCGCUUAUUAUGUAUGAUCUGACAGACGACAAUCAGAUUGAUGCUUUUUUUACUUCGAGUGAUGUUACUUUUACGCUGGUCAAGCUGCGACUUGGUGAUUACAUCAUUAGCUUCUUGGCGAACGAUUUCAUGAUGAUGAUUGCUGAUCUAAGAACGAUCGCCAACCCUAAGCUACCUACCUUGUGGAUUGACUUAUACCCAGCACUUCUUCCUAUGGCUUGCUAUGUACCAGCAUUUAUGAAAUUCCACGGGUUAUUCAUGAAGGACGACAGCGGGUUGUUGUCGACACAUAUAUCUGAUGCUGCAGCUAUACUUAAGAAUUUGUCCUAUAGAACACCAUGUGUUCCUGAAGAUGUCUGGACCAUCAUACCAAACAAUGAUCUAUGGUUGGACCACUGGUUCAGUCACAUCAAAGAAAGAUAAAAUGUCAAAAAUGAGAGACAAGUCAUCAUCUUUUCACGACACGUCAUCACCCACUGCCUGAACCACCGGGGAAAGAUUCCAAGCAAUCUGUCCUCAAUCGCCAUGGCGCGAUUGCUUGGAGGGUCAGGGAACUAAAGUUCAAUUGUCGUACCCUAUUACCAACCUGAGACAAUCUAUGUGCUGCUGCAGUAUAGGUUCUCGAGGUGGUUACCGCAGAUAAUUAUAGGCGGUAUUGAAUUCCGUGUGAGGAAGCAAAUGAUGGACCUUUUUCACAAUCUUUGAUUUGAGCGGUUUUUUCAAGGUGUGUCUGCUUGUUUCGUUAAGUGAAUGAAUUGUAAUUGUUGAAUGAAAAGUACGACUUUCGUUAAGCUACUAGGGCCUAACCUUGCAGACUGGCCUCCUAGGUUGGAAAUUGUCUUGCAAAUCGAAUUGCUUACCUUUGCAUAAAUAAGCAGAAACACCAAUAUAAUGUUGACAAUCAUUGUAACUCUAUUUCACGAAGGUUGUACUAUCAACUGCCAAAGAUUGUUAACACCUACUGUACAAGAACCUAGUUGACCAUUUCAAAGAAAAUCUUAUGCUGAUUGAGGUGAUUGAUUCCAACGAAGGUCUCCACAUGCUAUUAACAUCGAACCCCAAGUGGUCGUGGCUUCUAACUGAUGGUGGGAAAUUCUCGAUGAAAAGCCUAAAGGAUUUGGUGGUGCAAGCACACAGGGAGGGUUGGACACUCGGUAAGAAGCAGUUUUCGCAAGAAAACUUAAUCGUCUCAUCAAUCCGGACGUUGAAGUUCAAGAACGCGCUUAUUAAGUAUAAUCUGCCAGACGACAAUCAGAUUGAAGACUUUUUUAGCUUCGAGCGAUGUUAUUUUUACGUUGGUCAAGCUGCUGCAUAGUGAUGACAUCAUUAGCUUCUUGGCGAACGAUUUCAUGAUGAUGAUUGUUGAUCUAAAAAUGAUCGCCAACCCCAAGCUAGCUACCUUAUGGAUUGACUUCUACCCAAACACCUUUUUCUGUUUCUUGCUAUGGACCUCCAUAUAUGAAAAUUCACAGGGUGUUCAUGGAGGACGACAUCGGGUUGUUGUCCACACAUACAUCUGAUGUUGCAGUUAUAUUGAAGAACUUGUCCUACAGAAUACCAUGUGUUUCUUAAGAUGACUCGAUCAUCAUAGCAAAGAAUGAUAUAUGGUUGGACCACUGGUUCAGUCACAUCAAAGAAAGAUACAAUUUGAAAAAUGAGAGACAAGUUAUUAUCUUUCCACGACACGUCAUCGCCCACUGCCUGAACCACCGGGGAAAGAUUCCGAGCAAUCUAUCCCCAACUGCCAUGGCGUGAUUGCUUGGAGGGUCACGGAACCAAAGUUUAAUUAUCGUACCCUAUUACCAACCUGAGGCAAUCUAUGUGCUGCUGCAAUACAGGUUCCCGAGGUGGUUACCGCUGAUAAUUAGAUGCGCUAUUGAGUUCCGUGAGAGGAAGAGAAUGGUGGAACUCUUCCACAAUCUUCGGUUUGAGCAGUUUUUCUAAGGUGUGUUUGGUUGUUUCGUUAAGUGAAUGAGUUGUAAUUGUUGCAUGGAAAGUACGACUUUUGUUAAGCUACUAGUGCCUAACCUUGCAGUCUGGGCCUCUUAGAUUGGAAAUUGUUUUGCAAAAUAAAUUGCUUAUCUUUACAUAACUAAGCAGGCACAAUACUAUAAAUUUGAUAACUAAUGCUCCUCGAUUACAAGAAGGUUGUACUGUGAACUGCCAAAGAUUGUUACCACCUACUGUACAAGAACCCAGUUGAUCAUUUCAAGGAAAUCCUAUGCUGAUUGAGGUGACUGAUCCCAACGAAGGUUUCCACAUGCUCUUAACACCGAACCCCAAGUAGCCCUGGCUUCUAACUGAAGGUGGGAAGUUCUCGAUGAAAAACCUAAAGGAUUUGGUGGUGCAAGCACAAAGGGAGGGGUGGACACUCGGUAAGGAGCAGUUUUCACUGGAAAACUUAAUCGUCUCAUCAAUCGGAACGUUUAAGUUCAAGAACACGCUUAUGAAGUAUGAUCUGAUAGACGGCAAUUAGAUUGAAGACUUUUUAGCUUUGAGUGAUGUUACUCUUACGCUGGUCAAGCUGUUGUAUGGUGAUGACAUCAUUAGCUUCUUGCCGGAUGAUUUCAUGAUGAUGAUUGCUGAUCCGAGAACGAUUGCCAAGCCCAAGCUAGCUAUCUUGUGGCCGGUCGUCAGCCGCCAUGUGCGACUCGCGUGCUCGGCUACAGUGACCGACCGCCGAAUCGUCGAUGGGACCCAACGGCAACCACCCUUUUUGUGGGAGAAGCUCUGAAAUGGGCAUGCCACUCGAUUGCGUUCGUCGCGGGAGAUCUGGGAGAAAGAUUUUGUGGGUCCACCGGUCAGUCUCGGUUGGUCCACUGCUUAAAUUGAAAAAAGGUACUGUGGGAAGACUUAGAAGGAUGCGACGGUAUGGGUUGGGGUCGGCAUGGAUCGGAGUUGGAAACCAGCGGAAGGGGUCGGAUACUCAGGGGUCACGGGAUGCUUGGCGGCCCUAAGUCGCUUCAUCUCGCGCCUCGGUGAGCGAGGGCUUCCUCUCUAUCGACUCCUAAAAAAGACUGACCGCUUCGAAUGGAUUGGCGAGGCCCAGGAGGCACUUGACCGGCUCAAGGACCUCCUGACGAAGGCCCCGGUUCUAGUCCCGCCGACCGACGGCGAGCCCUUCCUGCUCUACAUCGCGGCGACCACCCAAGUGGUUAGCGCGGCCCUGGUGGUGGAACGAAAAGAGGAGGGACACGCUCGCAAGGUACAACGCCUGGUGUAUUUCAUCAGCGAGGUCUUGUCCGAGUCCAAGACACGUUACCCACAGAUCCAGAAGCUCAUCUACGCCGUCCUCAUCACGAAGAGGAAGCUGCGCCACUACUUCACCUCCCACCCGGUAACGGUUGUUUCGUAAUUCCCGUUAGGCGAAGUAAUCUGGAACCAGGACGCCACGGGAAGGAUCGCGAAGUGGGCGCUCGAGCUCAUGGACCAGGGCAUCACCUACGCCUCCCGCACCGCCAUCAAGUCCCAGGUACUCGCUGACUUCGUGGCAGAGUGGACGGAGGUUCAAUCGCCAUCGGCGCCGGAGAGGCAGGAGUACUGGACAAUGUACUUCGACGGGUCGCUGAUGAGGGCCCGCGCCGAAGCGGGUCUCGUCUUCGUCUCUCCUCUAGGCGUGCGCAUCAGGUACAUGAUCCGCCUCCAUUUUCCUGCGUCCAACAAUGUCACCAAGUACGAUGCCCUCCUCAACGGGCUCCGCAUCGCUAUCGAGCUGGGCAUCCGUCGGCUGGACAUCCGGGGCGACUCCCAGCUAGUCGUCGAACAAGUCAUGAAGGAAUGGAGCUGCCACGACCCCAAGAUGGCCGCCUACUGCAACGAGGUUCGCAAGCUCGAAGACAAGUUCGAUGGGCUGGAGCUCAACCACGUCGCAAGGCGCUUCAACGAAGCCGCCGACGAGCUAGCGAAGGCGGCAUCCGGCCGAAUGCCCGUGCCCGACGGCGUCUUCGUUAGCGACCAGUUGAAGCCUUCAAUCCGUUACCCGGAGCCGGCAGGGGUCGGCGAAGCCCCCCCGACCCCGGGGUCGGGCCCCGACUCAGGGGAGGUCGGUAGCACGCCGCCUACCCCAGGCUCGGGCGCCAGCCCCUAUCCCUCUAGCCUCAUGGUCAUGGCAAUCGCGGCAGAUCCCACGGUGUGGGCCGACCCCCCGACCGACUGGAGAGCCCCUUACCUCGACUACCUCGUCCGCGACACGCUCCCGGUAGACAAGACGGAGGCCCGUAGGAUCGCGCGCCGCGCCAAAUCCUUCGUCGUCAUGGACCAAGAGCUCUACAAGAGAAGCCACACUGGGAUCCUCCAGCGCUGCAUCCCGAUCGAACAGGGGAAGGCGCUGAUCCAGGAUAUCCACACCGGAGCCUGCGGUCACCACGCCGCGCCAAGGAUCCUCGUUGGCAACGCCUUCCGACAAGGUUUUUACUGGCCGACCGUGGUCGCCGACGCUACUCAGGUAGUCCGCACCUGUGAGGGGUGCCAAUUCUUUGCGCGUCGGACUCACCUACCCGCGCAGGUGCUACAGACCAUCCCCAUCACGUGGCCGUUCGCGGUCUGGGGGCUGGAUCUCGUCGAACCCUUCAAGAAAGCGCCCGGGGGCUUCACCCACCUACUUGUCGCCGUCGACAAGUUCUCCAAAUGGAUCGAGGCAAAACCGGUGGCGCAAAUCAGGUCCGAGCAGGCGGUACAAUUCUUCACCGACAUCAUCCACCGCUUCGGGAUCCCAAGUUCCAUCAUCACCGACAACGGCACGCAGUUCACCGGGAAGAGAUUCCUCCAGUUAUGUGACGACCACCACAUUCGAGUGGACUGGGCGGCCGUGGCACACCCCCGCACGAACGGGCAAGUCGAGCGAGCCAACGGCAUGAUACUCCAGGGUCUCAAGCCACGGAUCUUCAACCGCCUUAAAAGGUUUGGCGGACGGUGGGAUGCUGAGCUCCCCGCAGUCCUUUGGAGCCUGAGGACGACCCCCAGCCGAGCGACGGGCUUCACCCCGUUCUUCAUGAUUUACGGGUCCGAGGCCAUCUUGCCCACCGAUCUAGAGUACGGACCGCCGAGGGUCAGGGCAUACGACGAACAAGGAAACCAGGCAUCACUCGAGGACGCGCAAGAUCAACUCGAUGAGGCACGAGACGUAGCCCUGCUGCACUCGGCUAAAUAUCAGCAGGCCCUACGGCAUUACCACAGCCGUAAGGUGCAAGGCUGAGCCUUCAACAUCGACGACUUGGUGCAAAGCCUCGUCCAGGACAACAGGGGUCGGCACAAGUUAACUCCCCCGUGGGAAGGCCCCUUCAUCGUCGCGCAAGUACUGCGGCCUGGCACCUACAAGCUGGCGACUCCCGACGGGCAGAUCUUCAGCAACGCCCGGAACAUAGAACAGCUAAGGCGCUUUUACCCCUAGCUCUUAUUUCCAAGCUCUGCACAAACUUAUCUGCAAUUUUGAUAAUUUUCUUUUUGCGGAAAAAAGAAAUUCCACGCCGUCUCUAUUCAGGCUUUUCCCCUCAAGCUCAGGGGCAUCUAACCCUGGCCUCGCUCCAGGGCCGCAUACCCCUCGGGGGCUAUCAAGGGCUCCGGUCCAAGCCACUUGGCACCAUCUAAAAGAAAUGUUUUUUCUUUCAAACCGAGCCCCCCUUCUUUCUAAACCUUUGGACGCAAAAAGGAAAGAAUGCGCGAACGGUGCUCAGGCAAGAUUGACCGGACUGUGAAAAAACCUACGCCCCAGCGGUUACGGUGCCUUCGCCCAUCAAAGCUUACUGACACACCCAACGACGCACUCCAAACUUUCAAAGUCCAAAGGAACAAAAAGGGGGAUCGGAAACUUUCGAACGACAAAGUUAUAAAAAAGGCCCGUAUGGCCAUCACGAAACAAGUUCGAAACUGACAUAUUUACAAUUGGGGCGCAAGCCCGGUACAACUAACUUGACGGGGGGUCUUCAGGAGGGAUGGCCUCAUCUUCCAGGAGCUUCGCGAGGGCUUCUGCCGGGGUGAACACCGCCGCAUCAAUCUCGUCCAGCUCGGCCUCAGAGUAACCGGCGGCGUACCCUCCGCUCAUCCCGGCAAAAUUGAUGCCGGAAUAGUGGGAGCCGAAGACCCCGAAGGCUCGCCGCACGCCGGUGUGAAGCGCGUCCACGACGAUCUCGCGACUCCGGUGGCGUACCCCGAGGACACGAGCCGGCAGGGAGCUCGACCCCUCCUUCAGAACCACGCCGAAGCCGUCGCAGACGACGCGGACCGCAUCCCGCAGGGCGCUGGGCUCACUACGCUCCUCGUCGAGCAAGUCCUUCAGCUUGGCGAGUUCGCUUGCAGGAACCAUCCAGAAAAGCCCAUCAGGUCAGGAACCACCGCAACACCACGGGAACGCAGAAACGGAAAGGAAUCUCACCGUCGGCCCAGGCCUUCAGCUCGCGCUCCCGGUUGGCUCCUUGAGACACGGCGGUCUGGAGUCCCUGCACUUGCGACCGGAGGUGACCAACCUCCGCGCCAAGGUCAGCCGCCACCUUCUCGGCCUCCUCCUUCUUGACCUUCUCGGCGUCCCGGUCCUGCCAAGCUUUGUGCCGCUCACGCCGGAUGCGCUCGACGGUCUUUUGGAGGGCUUCAUGCUCCCCCCUCAGCCGUGCGAGCUCCUCAGCGUCGUGGCGGGCCCUCUCAGCAGCAGCCUGGAACUCCUCGUGGUCAAGACGGGCCUUGUCGAUGACGGCUUGGAGCUUGGCCUCCGAUCGCCGCGCCUCCUCCUGCGCCGCCUCCUCACGCCUUUGCAGGUCGGCGAUGACCCCCUGGGCAGCCGUAACCUGCAUAGACAGCUCCCUGGUGUGCUCCCUCUCCACGUUGAAGCGCUCCCAGAGCCCCCGCUCCAGCCGGAGGAAAUUAGAUUUCCCCCGACUGCACUCUUGGAGGGCCUGCAAAGCGACGUACCAUCAGGGACAAAGCAAUGGGGAAUGAUGAUCACCAACAGGAAAGAGCAACGUACGUGGCUACCAGGGAGGACGGUGUUGUCCAAAGCCCCCAUCGCCGAGGACAGAGCCGCGCGGGCGUGGGCAAGGCCACUCUGCACCGCCUGCCACUUGUGCAACUUCGCGGCGUCGUCCAGGGUGAAGCGGCGCCUCGGCGGAUCCUCGCGGGAUGACCAACGCAGGACGGACCCCCUCCACGCCCUGGGAACGGUGGGAGCUGAGGCUGAGGCGGGAGCCGAUCUUGACGCUUCCGUCGGAGUUGGCACCACCACACCGGAAGCCGCCAGGUUUGCCGACGGCUCCGACGCCUGCACACCCGUCGUCGCCGAGGUCGCCGCGGGGUCGCCCAAUGGCAGCGCCGCCUCUGACGCAAGCGGCAAGUUAGGAAUCCCCGCGGCUACCUCGCCCUCCGCCGUAAUCGCCGAGGGAGGCUCCUCCGCCCCUGCCGGAGCCACUCGAGCGGGCCCCUUCGCCUCCGCCAUCGGAGUCACCUCCGCCGGGAUCCUCGGGGCGGAGGUCCCCGCCUCCGUCGCCGCUACGUCCUCCGCCGCGGUCGCAGGGGUAGGCACUCCCUCCUCUGUCGCCGCCGCCGUCGAUCGCACCACGGCUGCGGGGGCAUCCGUCCCGCCUCCCGUCGCCGCCGUCUCCUCCGCCUCGUCGAUGUCAAGGUCAAUCACCUCCCCGGCCUGAGGACCCGGGGGAAUGAUGCCCUGCGCUGUAGGGGCGACCGGGGGAACCAAAGGCGGAAUGGGGUCCACUCCCCCGUAACCGACGCCGCCGUCGCUCCGCCAGCCGCCGUCACGGGGGCCGCCUCCGCGGAGGGGUCUGCGGCCUCACCAAGGACCUCGCCGCUCGCUGCGGGCGGGACCGCGAUCCGUCCCCCGGAGGAGGACAACACCCGCACCGCCUUCUUAGGCGCCAGUUGCAUGAUGAGGCCACGAGGGGCGGCGCUGCACAUCAACAAGCAAACGUCAGCGGGAACGAACGCGAGAAGGGAGAGGAACGAGACGCGCGAGGAAUGCCAACUUACGUUCCUGAAGCGCAAGGGCGACGCGCGCGCUUCGCUUCGGAGCCCGACGCCGACCCCGGGGCAUCUGGCAGCGGCCGCUUGUCGCCGCUUCGCUGCCCUCCAGUCUCGGGCGCGACGGUGGAGGCGGUCUCCGCGGACCUCCGGGGAGCGGCCUGGGUGGACUCCUGGGGGACACCCCGCGCCGGCUCCUGAGCAGCGGCGGUGUAGGCUCCGAAGACCCCCGGGGGCGCUCCGCGCCGGCUCCAGGGAGGAGCCCCGUGUCGACCCCUGGGGGGCACCCCUCGCCGACCCCUGGGGAGCGUCCCGCGCAGGCUCUGGGGAGGUGCCCCGCGCCGACCCCUUGGGGGCGUCUCGUGUCAACUCCUAGGGGCGCUCCGUGCCGACCCCUGGGGCUACGCCCCAGGGCCUUGCGGAACCAGGGCCCGGGCGGACGCCCCCUCCGCCUCAUCCCCCGCGGCCGUCCACGAGCGCACCUCCCGGAUUACAAGUGCACCCGAUCGGAGGGAGGAAAUCAGCUCCUCCCCCUCUUCAUCAUCUUCCUCAUCUUCAUCAUCGUCGUCGUCGUCGUCGUCUGUCACGACCUGCCCCCUCCGCCGCCGUUGGAACUCCUUGGCGGCCUUCUUCUUCUUCUUCUUCGCCGUCUCCUUAUCCUUACGACGCUUCUGCGCCUCAGCAAGGAGACGGUUGCGCGUUCGCCGAUCAGCGUCUUCCGGCACCGGCGGAAGCGAGUCCACGACCCGGGUCAGCGCGCCCUACGAACGUAAAACGUAGAAAGGAAGUCGGCGCCCCAACCCCUUUCCAGGUCUAUGAAGCCCGUGUCGGGGCGCAUCGGCGGGUGCCCGGGCACCGGGUACUCGGCGUCCUUGUCCUCCAGCGCCUCCCAAAUUCGUUGCUGGAUCUCGGAGGCGGCAAGCGCGCCCGCCGCCAAGGCGGUGCCCUCGGUCGGCGCGUCCGGAGUCAAGGCGGCAAGCGAGCGGACCCGGAGCAUCAGCGGCGCCACUCGCCGGGCAUGGUACGCCCCGAUGACCCCGGCGCCGCUAAGCCCGCUCCUCUUCAGCUGCUCGAUGGCCUACAGCAGGUCGAAGAUCCGCUUCUUCUCCUUGUCCACCGGCCCGUACGCCCACACCUCCGGCGCCACGUCGAUGGUACGGCCGGUGAGCUCCGGCAGUGUUGGGGGGAAAUAUUAACGACCCCCUAACACACUGCUUAAAAAAGCAAACAUGAAGGCCCAGGCCCACCAAAGCAUGAUCAACUCUCCGCCUCGCCCGACCCAGGCGCUAGGAUCGGGAGCGCCCGACCCUCCUCCGCAAGGUUUCCGCCUCGCCCGACCGCGACCCCAGGGUCGGGGGCGUCCGACCCUGCGCCACGAAAGUUCCGCCUCGUCCGACCCCGAGCGAAGGAGUCGGGCGCACUGGGGCCCACAAGUCCGGGAGCCCCCUCGGAUACGGUCCGCACAGACGAGACAAAUCCUGUGGGUGCCCCCGUCGGCCUCACCAUAAAUGCACCACAGAGUUGGCAGAGGGCAGGGCGACCGAGCCCCUCACGCAACCUGGCGCAAGUACCCGUGCAUGACCGUCCUGUGCAGGCUACAGUGCCGGCGGCCGGUUCUCAUUCGCCACGGAGCACUCAUGACCUGCGCCGACCGGAGCAAAAAAGAGAGAGGCCUGUCCUCGGGUCCCGCACACCCUCGAGUCUCGCGCACCCAACAGUGCGGACGUAACACCCUCCCUCUCAGCGGCCAUCGCCGGAGCAGCGGUAUCCACCGUCCUCCCUAACGGACGCUGGGGUAACGACGAAGCCGCCUCAUCAUGAGCUAACCUGGUACCUACGAACAUCGAAGUAGCUACCUACGGGGAGCAGCAACACUUGGCAUCCGGCGACCUCCCCCUCCGGCAUGCAUGACGACACGCGUUUAGGGUCGGCAGGACAUCGGGCGCCUAGGAUCUCUCCCCUCCUUCCUGCCUUACUUUUUACCAUCUUACUCUUUACUCUUGACAGACCUUUUUUACCCGAUCCCAAUUGUAACUCCGGCCGUCCCCUUGCGAUAUAAAAGGAGGAACCUAGAGCCGGAGAGGGGGGAAUCGAAAAGGAUAGAAUCAACCAGCUUCUUCUCCCGCACAUCAUAGUACACAACCACUGUUCCUAAGAGCACGAAAACCGAAGAGACUUGGGACCAGUCCCCUCUCUCGCCCAUCUGUAACCCCCUACUACAGAACCCCCGCGCGGGCAACACGAGCAUCCUCGAUACUGGACGUAGGGCUUCCUUUACCCAAACCAGUCUAAUCCGUGUCUCCCGUGCAACCAUCUGAGGCUCACGCGCAUAAAAGAAAUUUACUAGUCUAAGUCUUGAUCCACUGAUCUUGACAACGACAGUUGGCGCGCCAGGUAGGGGACCUUUGCGCGUGCAUCUCCAAGUCUCAGAUGGCCAAUGGCGAUAGCAGCUUUGCUCUGGGCUCCCUGAUUCGUUUCGGGAGCCUGGACUUCCUGGCCACCGGGAAAGGGAUCGAGCUGAUCCCUGUCCACGUCCUGCCCGCUCGUCCCGCUGCCCUCGGCACCACCGCCAGGGCAGCGACGAGCGGCCGGACGCCAGCCAGGAGGGUCUCACCGGCGACGAGCGGCCGGACGCCAGCCAGGAGGGUCUCACCAGAAGGAUGGCUCUUCGGGCUACGCAACGCCACGGGGGCUCACGGCCGCCUCCUAGCGCGGUCCUUCCCCGCGUCACCCGCGAGCAACGAGCUCGUGGGCGUGGCAAGAACAUUCUCCGACACUGGCUCUAGUAACGAGAAUCCCCGCCCCUCGCGCGAGUGCUUCAUGGCCGAGGCGCACUCCGAGGGGUCCAAUGGCGAUGGUGCCGAGGGGAGGCGACGGGCUCCCCCCUCGGACGCCGCCGCUACGGCUGGAGGCUUACCCAGGGCCCCAGAGUGCUCACAGCAACCGGAAGCGCACGUGGGCGCUCGCCAGGGAGUAGAGCACCCCCAUCACGAGGGGGGAGCGCGGCAACGGGCGCGCGACGUUCAGGAACGCAUCUGUGCGGAUGGAGAACGCCCGCCGCUCUUUGCCCGCGCUAGCCAGAACGUCGCCGCGGCGGCGGUGUUACUCCGGCACCUUCCCGAGCCAGCAACGCCCGAGGAGCGACGGGCGCGCCAAGAGAUGCACAACCUGCUCGAGUGCGCCGCCGUCCAGCAGGCGGAAAGUUCAGCGUCUCGACGACGCGGCCAGAACGCCAGUCGGGCGACGCAGGGCGCGCCUCCAGAACGGCGGGGGGAAUCUGUCCAUCAACCCUCUCCGGGGGCGGAUCCGGCUGCGACCGCCCAACGAACACCGCCACCCGCGGAAGGCGAGGCCCGAUCCGUCCACCAGCGCGUCGGUCUCGUCCGCGACGCCCGCGACACGCUGAACGCGCGGAGACGCUCCCGCGCGGACAGGGGGGACGGGGCAGAUCGAGGCUACCACGUCCACCGAGGCGGGCGCUACGACAGCGGGGAGGACCGCAGUCCGAGCCCCGGAGCGGCUGGGCCUCGGGCUUUCUCCGCGCGCAUCCUAAAUGCGCCCUUUCCGCCGCGCUUCAGGCAACCGACGAGCGUGGCCAAAUACUCGGGGGAGACCAACCCUGGAGUAUGGCUCAGCGAUUACCGGCUUGCAUGUCAAGCCGGCGGGGCGGACGAUGACCUGUUCAUCAUCUGCAACUUACCCCUGUUUCUAGCAGACUCCACGAGAGCCUGGCUAGAACAUAUCCCUUCAGGACGCAUUCGCAACUGGAACGACCUGAAGGAGGUUUUCGUAGGAAACUUCCAAGGGACGUACACACGCCCUGGCAACUCCUGGGAUCUUCGGAGCUGCCGCCAGGGGGCAGACGAGUCCCUCCGGGAUUACAUCCGGCGCUUCUCCAGAAAGCGCACCGAGCUCUCUAACGUCGCCGACGCCGACGUUAUAGGAGCCUUCCUAGCAGGGACCUCCUGCCGGCCACUCGUCCACGAGCUAAGGCGCCGAGGCCCGCGAACCACGGAAGAGCUCCUCAACAUCGCCACUAGCUACGCCUCUGGCGAGGAGGCUGUUGGAGCGAUCUUCGAUCGUUCCAAGGGCAAGGCGAAACGGGAGGAGGACGCCGACGAAGGCACCUCCAACCGCCAGCAGCAGAAGAAGAAGGGCAAGCAGCGACGCGAGGCUCCACUCGUAGCCGCAGUCGAGCGCAAGCGGGGGCAACCGCCCCCCGACGGCGCAUCGGGCUUCUUCGACAAGCUGCUCGAGGGGCCGUGCCCGAACCACGAGUUCCCCGUCAAGCAUGCCUACAAAGAUUGUAACCUCAUGAAGAGGUUCUUUGUGGGCAAUCCGGUGAAAGGUGACCGGAAGCGGAAACCCGACGAGGAAAAGAAGGGUGACGAGGAGAAGGAAGACGGCUUUCCUAAAGUUGACGGCUGCUUCAUGAUCUUCGGGGGCUCUGUCGCGUACGACACCAGGCGCCAGCAAAAGCUAGAGCGCCGGGAGGUCUACGCGGCCGAGCCUGCGACCCCGGCUUUCCUCGAUUGGUCCGGACCGGCUAUCACCUUUGAUAGAUCCGACCACCCGGGACGCGUCCGGCAUCCGGGGCGUUACCCUCUCGUCGUCGACCCCAUCGUCGGUACGACACACCUCACCAAGGUACUCAUGGAUGGGGGCAGCGGCCUCAACCUCCUCUACGCCAAGACCCUCGACGCCAUGGGGAUCGAUCGCUCCCGUCUCCGUCCUAGCAAGGCUCCCUUCCAUGGCGUUGUGCCAGGGAAGCAGGCAACGCCCCUCGGGCAGAUCGACCUGCCCGUCACGUUCGGGACCCCUUCUAACUAUAGGAAGGAGGUCCUCACCUUCGAGGUGGUAGGGUUUCGCGGAACCUACCACGCCAUCUUGGGGCGGCCAUGCUACGCGAAGUUCAUGGCAAUCCCCAACUACACCUACCUCAAGCUCAAGCUACCAGGGCCUAACGGGGUAAUCACCGUCGGCACAACCUUCCAGAAGGCAUACGAGUGCGACGUCGAGUGCUGCGAGUACGCCGCGGCCAUCACCGUCUCGGGCGACAUGGUGGCCCAGCUUGAGGAGACGAUCGAGGACCAGCUCGGCGCCAAGCAGUCAGGUGCCUCCUUUGAGCCCACCGAAGGCAUCAAGGAAGUCCCUCUCGACCCCGGCAGUUCCGGCGGUGGGGUCGUGCGGAUCAGCGUAGCCCUAUCCCCCAAAUAGGAAAGCGCGCUCGUCGACUUCCUUCGCGCGAACAACGACGUCUUUGCGUGGAAGCCCUCGGAUAUGCCAGGCAUCCCGAGAGAAGUCGCCGAGCAUUCCUUGAACAUCAGGGCCAGCUCUAAACCAGUGAAGCAAGGCUUGCGCCGUUUCGACGAAGAAAGGCGCAGGGCCAUUGGUGAAGAGCUCCAGAAGCUCCUGGCGGCCGGGUUCAUCAAGGAAGUACACCACCCGGAGUGGUUGGCUAAUCCUGUUCUUGUACCGAAGAAGAACGGGAAAUGGAGGAUGUGUGUCGAUUAUACCGGUCUCAACAAAGCGUGUCCAAAGGAUCCGUUCCCUUUGCCACGCAUAGAUCAAAUAGUAGACUCAACCGCCGGGAGCGAAACACUCAGCUUCCUUGAUGCGUACUCCGGCUAUCACCAGAUCGCGAUGAAAGAGGCUGACCAGCUCGCUACCUCCUUCAUCACCCCCUUUGGCCCCUACUGCUACGUUAAGAUGCCAUUCGGCCUCAAAAACGCGGGGGCUACCUUCCAGCGGUGUAUGCUUAAGUGCUUCGGAGAUCUCAUCGGGCGGACCGUUGAGGCCUACGUCGACGACAUCGUGGUCAAAUCCAGGAAGGGCGAUCAGCUCGUUCCCGACUUGGAGCUAGCCUUCGAAAGGCUAAGGGAUAAGCGUAUCAAGCUUAACCUCGAGAAAUGCGUGUUCGGUGUCCCAAGGGGCAUGCUGCUAGGCUUCAUCGUCUCCAUGCGCGGCAUCGAGGCGAACCCGGAGAAGCUAGCGGCCAUCAACGACAUAGGGCCGAUCCGGAACAUUAAGGGAGUACAACGCGUCAUGGGAUGCUUAGCAUCCCUAAGCCGCUUCAUCUCACGCCUCGGCGAGCGAGGACUUCCUCUCUAUCGGCUCCUGAAAAAAUCCGAUCGCUUUGAGUGGACCAGCGAGGCACAGGGAGCACUUGACAGGCUCAAGGAUCUCCUGACGAAAGCCCCAAUUCUAGUUCCGCCGGCCGACGGCGAGAUCCUUCUACUCUACGUCGCGGCAACCACCCAGGUGGUCAGCGCGGCCCUAGUAGUGGAGAGGGAGGAGGAGGGGCACGCUCUUAAGGUGCAACGCCCGGUGUACUUCAUCAGCGAAGUGUUGUCCGAGUCCAAAUCGUGAUAUCCGCAGAUCCAGAAGCUCGUCUACGCCGUCCUCAUCACGAAGAGGAAGCUGCGUCACUACUUCACCUCCCAUCCGGUAACGGUCGUUUCUUCAUUCCCGCUUGGUGAACUAAUCCGGAACCCGAAUGCAACAGGAAGGAUCGCGAAGUGGGCGCUUGAGCUUAUGGAUUAGAGUAUCACCUACGUUCCCCGCACCGCCAUUAAAUCCUAGGUACUUGCCGAUUUCGUGGCCGAGUGGAUAGAGGUACAAGCACCGACGGCAACAGAGGAGCAGGAGUACUGGACGAUGUACUUCGACGGGUCGCUGAUGAGGGCCCGCGCCGGAGCAGGCCUCGUCUUCGUCUCUCCGUUGGGCGUACGCAUCAGGUACAUGAUCCGCCUCCAUUUUCCUGCAUCCAAUAAUGUCGCUGAGUAUGAAGCCCUGCUCAACGGGCUCCGCAUCGCCAUCGAGCUGGGCAUUCGUCGACUAGACGUCCGAGGCGACUCCUAGUUGGUCGUCGAACAAGUCAUGAAAGAAUGGAGCUGCCAUGACCCUAAAAUGGCCGCCUACUGCAACGAGGUACGUAAGCUCGAGGGCAAGUUCGACGUGUUGGAGCUCAACCACGUCGCAAGGCGCUUCAAUGAAGCCGCCGACGAGCUCGCAAAGGCGGCGUCCGGCCGGAUGCCCGUCCCCGACGACGUCUUUGUUAGCGACCAGCUGAAGCCUUCAAUCCGUUACCCGGAGCCAGCAGGGGUCGGCGGGGCAUGCCCAGCCUUGGGGGCGGGGUCCGAACCAGGGGAGGUCGGCAGCAUGCCACCUGUCCUGGACCCGAGCACCGAUCCCAAGGGAACCAACGCUGCCCUACCCGACCCGGCCUCGGAAGCCAAGCCUUCCGACCCCGUGGUUAUGGAAAUCGAGGCAGACCCCGCGGCGGGGGCCGACCCCUCGACCGAUUGGAGAGCCCCGUACCUCGACUACCUUAUCCACGACGCGCUCCCGACCGACAAGACCGAAGCCCGCAGGAUCACGCGCCGUGCGAAAUCCUUCACCAUCAUCGACCAGGAGCUUUACAAGCGAAGUCACACUGGGAUCCUCCAGCGCUGCAUCCCGAUCGAACAGGGAAAGGCGCUGAUCCAGGACAUCCACGCUGGGGCUUGUGGUCACCACGCUGCGCCAAGGAUGCUUGUGGGCAAUGCCUUUCGACAAGGUUUCUACUAGCCAACCGCGGUCGCGGAUGCUACCCAGGUAGUCUGCACUUGUGAGGGAUGCCAGUUCUUUGCCCGCCAAACCCACCUGCCCGCGCAGGCGUUACAAACCAUCCCCAUCACGUGGCCGUUCGCGGUCUGGGGACUGGAUCUCGUCGGACCCUUCAAAAGGGCGCCCGGGGGCUUCACCCAUCUACUCAUCGCUGUCGACAAGUUUUCCAAAUAGAUCGAAGCAAGGCCAGUGGCGCAAAUCAGGUCCGAGCAGGCGGUACAGUUCUUCACCGACAUCGUCCACCGCUUCGGGAUCCCGAACUCCAUCAUAACCGACAACGGUACGCAGUUCACCGGAAAAAGAUUCCUCCAGUUCUGCGACGACCACCACAUUCGAGUGGAUUGGGCGGCAGUUGCGCACCCCCGCACGAACGGGCAAGUCGAGCGAGCCAAUGGCAUGAUACUUCAGGGUCUCAAGCCACGGAUCUUCGACCGCCUUAAAAAAUUCGGCGGACGAUGGGUUGCGGAGCUCCCAGCAGUCCUUUGGAGCCUGAGGACGACCCCCAGCCGGGCGACAGGGUUCACCCCAUUCUUCAUGGUCUACGGGUCAGAGGCCAUCUUGCCCACCGACUUGGAGUAUGGGUCACCGAGGGUCAAAGCAUACGACGAACAGGGAAACCAGGCGUCACUCGAGGACGCACAAGACCAACUAAACGAGGCGCGAGAUGUAGCCCUGCUACACUCAGCUAAAUACCAGCAGGCCCUACGGCGUUACCACAGCCGCAGGAUACAAGGCCGCGCCUUCAACGUCGGAGAUCUAGUGCUCCGCCUCGUCCAAGAUAACAGGGGUCGGCACAAGUUGACUCCCCCAUGGGAGGGCCCGUUCAUCGUCGCACAGGUGCUACGACCAGGCACCUACAAGCUGGCAACUCCCGACGGGCAAAUCUUCAGCAACGCCUGGAACAUAGAACAGCUAAGGCGCUUCUACCCAUAGCUCUCAUUUACAAGUUAUGCAUGGUCCUGCCAUCCUUUCCGUUCUUUCUUUUAAGCUCAGGAGUAUCCGACCCUGGCCUCGUUCCAGGAUCGCAUACCCCUCGGGGGCUACCAGUUUUGUUCUUCUGCGAAAAAAGAAACCCUGAGCCACUUUGGCUCAGGUCCUUUCGUUUAAGCUCAGGGGUAUCCGACCCUGGCCUCGCUCCAGGGUCGCACACCCCUCGGGGGCUACCAGUUUUGUUCUUCUGCGAAAAAAAAAGAAACCCUGAGCCACUUUGGCUCAGGUCCUUUCGUUUAAGCUCAGGGGUAUCCGACCCUGGCCUCGCUCCAGGGUCGCAUACCCCUCGGGGGCUACCAGUUUUGUUCUUUUACGAAAAAGAAGGCCUUUUCUUUUAAACUUAGGGGUAUCCGACCCUGGCCUAGCUCCAGGAUCGCACACCCCUCGGGGGCUACCAGGGGUCCCGACCCCAGCCGCCGGGCACCGCCUUAAAAGAAAACGUUUUUUCUUUUUUCAAAACCGAACACUCCCUUUCGAAAACCAUUGGACACAAAAAGAUAAGGAUGCGUGAACGGUACUCAGCCAAGUUGCGAUCGGACUGCGAAAAAGCCUACGCCCCAGCGGCUACGGUACCUUCGCUCAUCAAAAACUUACUGACGCACCCGGCAAUGCAUCCAAAAGCUUUCAAGACCAAAGGAAUAACAAAGGGAAACGGUUUCCUUAGCGCAAAUAAAAAGUCAUAAGAACAGGCCCGUAUGGCCAACACGAACGAGUUCAACACGACUGACUUAAGUACAAACUUUUUUCGGGCACAAGCCCGGUACAGCUAAUUAACAGGAGGGUCGGCCGGAGCAGUGGUUCCGGGGUCGGCUGAAGCAGCGGCUUCGGGGUCGACAGGAGCGGCGGCUUCAGGGUCGGCGACGGCGGCGGCCUCAGGAUCGAUAGGGGGGACGACUUCAUCCUCCAGAAGCUUCGCGAGAGCCUCCGCUGGCGCGGUCACCACGGCGUCGAUCUCAUCCAGCUCGGCGUCUGUGUAGCCGGCGCAGUACCCCUCACUCAUCCCGACAAAAUUAAUGUCGGCAUAGUGAGAGCCGAAGACUCCGAAGGCGCGCCGCACGCCAAGGCGAAGCGCGUCCACGGCGAUCUCGCGACGACGACGGCGCACCUCGAGGACACGAGCCGACAGCGAGCUCGACCCCUCCUCCGGAGCGACGCCGAAGUCCUCACAGAUGACGCGGACCGCAUCCCGCAGGGCGCUAUGCUCGCCGCGCUCCUCGUCGAGCAGAGUCCGCAACCUGGCGAUGUCACCUGCAGGACCCACUCGAGAAAUCCCACCAAGUCAGAAGAAGCAAAACACCAAUGACACAAAAACGCAGAAGCAGAAAAAGCCUCACCGUCGGCCUCGGCCUUCAGCUCGCGCUCCCGGUCGACGCUGCGGGACAAAGCGGACUGGAGCCCCUGCACUUGCAAACGAAGCUGCUCGUGCGCCGCACGAAGGGCUGCACUCUCCCCCCUCAGCCGCGCCAGCUCCUCGGCGUCUCGGCGGGCCCGCUCAGUAGCAGCGGCUUUUAGCCCCUCGGCAUCGCGGCGGGCCCUGUCCAUGGCGGCCUGGAACUCCUCAAGGUCGAGGCGGGCCUUCUCCGCGACGGCCUAGAGCCUGGCCUCGGCACGCCGCGCCCCCUCUAGCGCCGCCUGCUCACGCCCCUCCAGGUCGCGAACGGCGCCCUGGGCGGCGCCAAGCUGCAGGGUCAGAUCCCUGGAGCGCUCCCUCUCGGUGUUGUAGUGCUCCCAGAGGUUCCGCUGCCGCCGGAGGAAGUCAGACUUCUCCCGGCUGCCCUCUUGGAGAGCCUGCAAAGAAGCAUUCCGUUAAAAGCAAAAAAAAAAAAGUAAAGAGAAGGAACUCAUCGCCGAGCGGCAGGAACAACAUACCUGGCUGCCGGGAACCACGGUGUUGGCCAAAACUCCCAACGCCGAGGUCAGAGCCGCCUGAACCUGGGCGACGCCGCCGUGCAUCGCCUGCCACCUAUGCCACUCGGCGGCGUCAUCCAGCGCGUAGAGGCGCCUCGGCGGGUCAUCGCGGGACGUCCAGCGGAGGACGGGCCCUCUCCACGCCCCAGGGACGGAGGAAGCCGAGGGCGGAACAAGGGCCGACUCUGACGUCGCCGUCGAUGACGACAUCACGACGCCAGAAACCCCUGGAUCCACCGACGGCUCCGGCGCCUGCGCGCCCGUCGCCACCGCGGCCGCUAACGGCACCCCUGUGGGCACCUCCGUCUCGGCCGCUAGAGUCACCCCCGCGGGAGCAACCGGGACGGAGACCCCGGUCUCCAGCACCACUGCCUUCGCCGCCGCCGCGUCCUCGGGAGCCAGCGCCCCCUCUGCCUCUGACCCCGCCAUGGCAGCGGGGGCAUCCGCCCUGCCCACCGCCGUCUCCGCCUCCUCCGCCUCGUCGGCGUCAAGGUCGAUCACCUCCCCGGCUUGAGGGCCCGGGGGAAUCACGACCCGAGCCGGAGGGGCGAUCGGUGGGGCCGUAGGCGGAGUGGAGUCCGCUCCCCCUCCGGCGGAGGAGGAGGACGUCCGCAGCAUCUUCUUGGGCGCCAGCCGCAGGGUGACGCCGCGGGGAGAAGUACUGCACGUCGACGGACGGGCGUCAACAGAAACAAACGGAAAGAGAAAGGAAGGAUGACACGUAGGAAGAGUCAACUUACGCCCUCGAAGCGCAGGGGCGGCGCGCGCGCUUCGACUCGGAGCCGGACGCCGACCCCGGGGCGUCUGGCAGUGGCCGGUUGUCGCCGCCCCGUUGCCCUCCGCCAACAGGCACGGCGGCGGAGGCAGCCCCCACGGAUCCCCGAGGAGCCCCCCGAGCGGACUCCUGGGGAGCGCCCCGCGCCGGGCCCAAGGCAGCGGCAGGGGCGGACUCUGAAGGCCCCUGAGGGGCGCUCCGUGUCGACGCCGGGGCGGCAUCCCUUGCCGGCCCCGAGGGAGCAUCCCGCGCCCGCUCCUGGGGGAUGCCCUGGGACGACCCCGGGGGGGCGCCCCGCGCCCCUCCCCGGGGGAGGCCCUGCGCCGACCCCCGGGGAACGUCCUGCGCCGCCCCCUGGGGAGCAAUCCGCACCGGCUCCUGAGGCGCGCGCUGCGCCGACCCCUGAGGAGCGGUCCGCACCGGCUCCUAGAGCACGCGCUGCGCUGACCCCUGGGGCACGGUCUCAGGACCCGGGGGAGCCGGAUCCCGGGCGGACGCUCCCGCCGCUGCACCCCCUGCAGCCGUCUGCGGGGGUGCGUCACGAAUCACCAAAGCCCCCGAACGGGGGGCAAACAGCUCUUCCUCCUCCUCUUCUUCUUCUUCUUCUUCUUCUUCUUCUUCUUCUUCUUCUUCUUCUUCCUCGUCGUCGUCGUCGUCAGACACGACCGCCCCUCUCCGCCGCCGUUGGAACUCCUUGGCGGCCUUCUUCCGCCGCUUCUCCGUCUCCUUGUCCUUCCGGCGCUUCUGCUCCUCGGCCCGGAGACGAUUGCGAGCCCUCCGCUCGGCAUCCUCCGGCACCGGCGGGAGGGAGUCCGCAACCCGGGUCAGCAUGCCCUGCAAAACGCGAAAGAGGAUCCGCAUCAGAACAACAAAACAACGGGACAUCAGGAGGGAGAAGCGGCGACCCAAAAACCUUACCAGGUCUACGAAGCCCGGCUCCGGGCGCAUCGGCGGAUGCACGGGGAUCGGGUAGUCGACGUCCUUGUCCUCCAGCGCCUCCCGGAGCCGUUGCCGGAUCUCGGAGGCAGCGAGCGCGCCUGUCGCCAGGACGGUGCCCUCGGUCGGCAUGUCGGGGGACAUGACGCCAAGUGGACGCGCCCGGAGCAUCAGCGGCGCCACCCGCCGGGCGUGGUACGCGCCGAUGACCCCGGCGCCGGUGAGCCCCUCCCGCUUCAGCUGCCCGAUGGCCUGCAGCAGGUCGGAGAUCUUCCUCUUCUCCUUCUCCACCGGCCCGUACGCCCACACGUCGGGCGCCGCGUCGAUGGUGCAACCGGUGAACGCCGGCAGGGGGGAGUUCGGGUAGUUCUUCACGUAGAACCACUGAUUGUGCCACCCCUUGUGGGACACCGAGGUCUUCACCGUCAUAUACUCCUUGGAGCGAGUAUGACGGAGGUGGAUCCCGGCGCACCCAAUCGGCACCGGAGGCGACCGCUGUUGGCUCCCGGCCUUCCCCGCCUUCUGGUACAGGCUCACGGUGAAGAAGUACUUUCAUAACUCGAAGUGGGGCUCGAUGCCCAGGAACCCUUCGCACAGCGCGACGAAUGCCGCGAUGUGCUGGAUCCCAUUGGGGUUGAGAUGCUGGAGCUCGAGCCCGUAGUAGUAGAGGAGCCCGCGGAAGAAGCGGCUUGGAGGGGAGGCGAAUCCCCGCUCGUGGAAGUGGGCGAAGGAGACGACGUAGCCGGCGGGCGGCGACGGGACCUGUUCCGGCCCCGGCAGUAUCCACUCGUCCGCCGUCGUCUUCUCGCAGAGGAGCCCCUUUCGCACCAGGCCCUCGGCGCGGUUGGCGGUGAAGUGGGAAACUCCCCAGGAGGCCAUCGCCAAGGAAGGAAGGGGACCGACGGAGGCGAAAGCGAAAGCACGCGGCGUGAAGCAAUGGGAACAAAGCGAGCGAGGCGAGCGCAAGUGAGCUAGGAAGGCAAGAAGGCUCGAGUGCGGAAGGAGAGGAACCGGCGCGGCGUGCUUCUGCUUUUAUAGGAAAAGUACCGGGGAAGCCCAAUCGACGCCCCGGCCCCCAUAAAUGCGGCGCCAGGUACGCCCCUGCCGCGCCCGUUUCCUUUUCGAAAAACGCGCGCACGAUCGGCCGCGAAAAAACAUCCUAUCUUCCUCGAUCCGCGGGACGACGCUUCCAUAACUCCGCUUCCCGGGUAUCGCGCCCACGACGCUCCCCACGACCGGCCCAGGCACACCAACCGCUCCGCUCCGGUCCAAGGCCCACAGGGAGGUAAGAAAGGGAUACGGGGCUGAAAACGCCCCUACGGCCCAAUACGGUCCAGGGGUUCGAAAGCUGGCCCAACACGGGUUCGACAGCUGCCUCAGGACAUCCCCGAGCAAGGGGUGAGAAGGGGCGGGCCCGCUAGCGGCCAACACCCAGGCGAGCGAACGCCAAGGGCGCCCCAACCUCACGUUCGAGUCCCGCUCAGUGUAAAGUUCAUGGUUUUUCCACGGGGAAAGGCAACGAGCCCUCAGAUCCGGUCGAACGGAUCCGAGAACUAUAUGAACUGACCGACGGGAAAUCGGAGUACGCCACCAGCUUGGCCCGAGCCGGACCCCCCCGAACGGGGACCGGGACUCCACUCGAACUUACCCGUUUGCAGCUCAAACGAGCACCAUGGUUCGUCCAACGCGGAUAACGUGGCCCGGCUCAACCCCUCCGUCCUAGCGAACGCACGCUUGAGGGGCAACGAUCAAAAAGUCGACCUGGCCUCCCGAUCGGUUUCCUGCAACGAGCAGGAGCUCGGGGGCAAGCCUCGCAAACAACUGCCACACGUGUGGUCACAAACCUGGCAGGUUCUCUCGAGCAAGGCGGAGAUAAAAACAAGCGCGCCAUAAUACAGAAACCGGCGGCAAACAGCGAAAGGAGCCUCCGGAGGAGCACUCCUGCUCCACCACAGGCUCGGGGGCUACUGUUGGGGGGAAAUAUUAAUGACCCCCUAACACACUGCUUAAAAAAGCAAACAUGAAGGCCCAGGCCCACCAAAGCAUGAUCAACUCUCCGCCUCGCCCGACCCAGGCGCCAGGAUCGGGAGCGCCCGACCCUCCUCCGCAAGGUUUCCGCCUCGCCCGACCGCGACCCCAGGGUCGGGGGCGUCCGACCCUGCGCCACGAAAGUUCCGCCUUGUCCGACCCCGAGCGAAGGAGUCGGGCGCACUGGGGCCCACAAGUCCGGGAGCCCCCUCGGAUACGGUCCGCACAGACGAGACAAAUCCUGUGGGUCCCCCCGUCGGCCUCACCAUAAAUGCACCACAGAGUUGGCAGAGGGCAGGGCGACCGAGCCCCUCACGCAACCUGGCGCAAGUACCCGUGCAUGACCGUCCUGUGCAGGCUACAGUGCCGGCGGCCGGUUCUCAUUCGCCACGGAGCACUCAUGACCUGCGCCGACCGGAGCAAAAAAGAGAGAGGCCUGUCCUCGGGUCCCGCACACCCUCGAGUCUCGCGCACCCAACAGUGCGGACGUAACGCCCUCCCUCUCAGCGGCCAUCGCCGGAGCAGCGGUAUCCACCGUCCUCCCUAACGGACGCUGGGGUAACGACGAAGCCGCCUCAUCAUGAGCUAACCUGGUACCUACGAACAUCGAAGUAGCUACCUACGGGGAGCAGCAACACUUGGCAUCCGGCGACCUCCCCCUCCGGCAUGCAUGACGGCACGCGUUUAGGGUCGGCAGGACAUCGGGCGCCUAGGAUCUCUCCCCUCCUUCCUGCCUUACUUUUUACCAUCUUACUCUUUACUCUUGACAGACCUUUUUUACCCGAUCCCAAUUGUAACUCCAGCCGUCCCCUUGCGAUAUAAAAGGAGGAACCUAGAGCCGGAGAGGGGGGAUCGAAAAGGAUAGAAUCAACCAUCUUCUUCUCCCGCACAUCAUAGUACACAACCACUGUUCCUAAGAGCACGAAAACCGAAGAGACUUGGGACCAGUCCCUCUCUCGCCCAUCUGUAACCCCCUACUACAGAACCUCCGCACGGGCAACACGAGCAUCCUCGAUACUGGACGUAGGGCUUCCUUUACCCGAACCAGUCUAAUCCGUGUCUCCCGUGCAACCAUCUGAGGCUCACGCGCAUAAAAGAAAUUUACUAGUCUAAGUCUUGAUCCGCUGAUCUUGACAACGACAGGCAGGGGGGAGUCCGAGUAGUUCUUCACGUAGAACCACUGGUUGUGCCACCCCUUGUGGGACGCCGAAGUCUUCAUCGCCAUAUACUCCUUGGAGCGAGUAUGGCGGAGGUGGAUCCCGGCGCACCCAAUCGGCACCGGAGGCGACCGCUGCUGGCUCCCCCUCUUCUCCGUCUUCUGGUACAAACUCACUGUGAAGAAAUACUUCCACAGCGACAAGUUGGGCUCGAUGCCCAGGAACCCCUCGCACAGUGCGACGAACGCCGCAAUGUGCUGGAUCCCGUUGGGGUUGAGGUGCUGGAGCUCGAGCCUGUAGUAGUGGAGGAGCCCCCGGAAGAAGCGGCUCGGUGGAGACGCGAACCCCCGCUCAUGAAAGUGAGCGAAGGAGACGAUGUAGCCGGAGGGAGGCUCCGGCACUUGCUCCGGCCCCGGCAGCAACCACUCGGCCGCCUCCGUCCUCUCGCAGAGGAGGCCUUUCCGCACCAGGCCCUCGGCGCGCGAGGAGUUGAAGUGAGAGAUCCCCCAAGAACCCAUCGCCAGAGGAGGAGGAAGCUCGACGGAGGUGAAAGGCAAGUGCGCAGCUGGGGAGGAGGAAGGCGAAGCGGACGCAGGUGAGCUAAGUGCGAGGCUGGAGGACGAAAGGGCUCGAAUGCAGAAGGCGGGCGGAACCAGCGAGGCGGGCUUCCAUUUUUAUAGGAAAGGCGCGGGGAAGCCAAAUCGACGCCCCUGCCGCCAUAAAUGCGGCGCCAGGUACGCCCCUGCCACGCCCACUUCCUUUUCGGAAACCGCGCGCACAACCGGCUGCGAAAACAUCCUAUCCUCCUCGAUCCGCGGGACGACGCUCCCCAUAACUGUGUCUCCCGGAAGGCACACCCACGACGUCCCCCACGUUCGGCCCAAACGCAACGACCGCUCUGUUCCGGCCCAAGGCCCACCGAAGGGUAAGAAGGGAUACGGGGCUGAAAACGCCCCUACGGCCCAUUACGGUCCAGAGGUUCGAAGGCUAGCCCGCCACGGGUUCGACAGCUGCCUCAGGACGUCCCCCGAGCGAGGGGUGAGAAGGGACGGGUCCGCUAGCGGCCAACACCCAGGCGAGCGAAAGCCAAGGGCGUCCCGACCUCACGUUCGAGUCCUGACCGGCAUGAAGUUCAUGUUUUUUCCACAAGGAAAGCCAACGAGCCCCCGGAUCCGGCCGAACGGACCCGGGAACUAUAUGAACUGGCCGGCGGGAGAUUGGAGUACGCCACCAGCUUGGCCCGAGCCGGACCCCCUCGAACGGGGACCGGGACUCCACUCGAACCUACCCGUUCGCAGCUCAACGAGCACCACGGUUCGUCCAACGAGGAUAGCGUGGCACGGCUCAACCCCUUCGUCCUAGCGAACGGACGCUUGAGGGGCAACGAACAAAAGUCGACCUGGCCUCCCGACCGGUCUCCUGCAACGCGCGGGGGCUCGGGGGCUAGCAUCGCAACCAACAACCACGCGUGUGGUCGCGAUUCGCAGGCUCCCCGGCCAAGUUGGGCUAAAACAAACGCACCCUACCCCCAACAAGAUCUCCGGCGAAACGGCGAAAGAAGCCUCCGGAGGAGCACUUUUGCUCCACCACAGGCUCGGGGGAUAUUGUUGGGGGGAAAUAUUAACGAUCUCCUAAAUACCUCUUAAAGGAACAAACAUGAAGGCCCAGGCCCAUCCAGGAUAACAAACUCACCGUCAAGCCCAACAUGAGCAAAACUCCGCCUCGCCCGACCACGGUCUCAGGGUCAGGAACGUCCGACCUCCCGCCACGAGGCUCCGCCUCGCCCGACCGUGGUCCCGGGGUCAGGAGCGUCCGACCUCCUGCCGCAAGGCUCCGCCUCGUCCGACCGCGACCCCAGGGUCAGGGGCGCCCGACCCCUCGCCACAAGGUUCCGCCUCGUCCCACCCCGAGCACAGGGGUCGGACUCACUGGGGGCCCCAGGACGGAUAUCCCCCUCAGGUGCGGACCGGGUGGUCAAGGUAACGAUCCCGUGGGUCCCCCUUGUCGACCUCGUCAUAAAUGUGCCGCAGGCUUGACAGGGAGAAGGAUGAUCACGCUCCUCACGCAACCCGCUGCAAGUACCCAUGCACGACCACACUGUACGAGCUACAGUGCUGGUGGCUUCCUUCCAUUCGCCGCCGGGUACUCAUGGCCUGCGCCGACCGGAGCAGAGGGAAGACUCGCCCGUCCUCGGGCCCCGCGUGCCCUCGGGCCCCCCGCGCUCGGGAGCAAGGAUGUGACGCCCUCUCUCCACAAGCCAUCAUCAGGACGGUGGCAUCCGCCGUCCCUCCCAACGGACACCGUAGUGACGACAAAACACCUUCAUCAUAACCCGACGCCUACGGACACCGAAGAGGCUAUCUGUAGGGCGCGACGACAGUUGGCACACGGCCGCCCUCCUCCUCCAGCAUGCACGUCGGCGCUCGUCAGGGGCUGGCGAAGGCGCCGGACGCCUAGGAACUUGGUUUCUCCCUUCUUGUUUACGUAAAGGUAAGUAAUUCAAUUUACAAGAUAAUUUUCACUCUAAGAAGACUAGUUGUAAGGUUAGGCUAUAAUAGCUUAACAAAAGUCGUACUUUCCAUGCAACAAUUACAGCUCAUUCAUUUAACGAAACAACCAAACACACCUUGGAAAAACUGCUCAAACCGAAGAUUGUGAAAGAGGUCUAUCAUUUUUUCUUCCUCUCACGAAACUUAAUAGCGCCUCUAAUUAUCUGCGGUAACCACCUUAGAAACUUAUACUGCAGCAGCACAUAGAUUGCCUUAGGUUGGUAAUAGGGUACGACAAUUGAACUUUGGUUCCCUGACCCUCCAAGCAAUCGUGUCAUGGCGGUUAGGGACAGAUUGCUCGGAAUCUUUCCCUGGUGGCUCAGGCAGUGGGCAAUGAUGUGUCGUGGAAAGAUGAUGACAUGUCUCUCAUUUUUGACAUUGUAUCUUCCUUUGAUAUGACUGAACAAGUGGUCCAACCAUGGAUCAUUGGUUGAUAUGAUGGUUCAGUCAUCUUAAGGAACAACUGGUGUUCUCCAGGACAAGUUUCUUUAGUAUAUGUGCAGCAUCAAAUGUAUGUGUCGAUAACAACCUGCUGUCGUCCUCCAUGAACAACUCGUGGAAUUUCAUAAAUGCUGGUCCAUAGCAAGACACAGGAAGAAGUGCUGGGUAUAAGUCAAUCCACAAGGUAGUUAGCUUGGGGUUGGCGAUCGUUCUCAGAUCAGCAAUCAUCAUCAUGAAAUCGUUUGCCAAGAAGCUAAUGAUGUCAUCACCAUGCAGCAGCUUGACCAGCGUAAAAAUAACAUCACUCGAAGCAAAAAAAAAAGCAUCAAUCUGAUUGUCGUCUGUCAGAUCAUACAUAAUAAGCGCGUUCUGAAACUUAAAUGUCCUAAUUUAUGAGACGAUUAAGUUUUCCAGCGAAAGCUGCUCCUUACCGAGUGUCCACCCCUCCCUGUGUGCUUGCACCACCACAUCCUUUAGGCUUUUCAUCGAGAACUUGCCACCAUCAGUUAGAAGCCACGGCCACUUGGGGUUCGGUGUUAAUAGCAUAUGGAAACCUUCGUUGGGAUUAGUCACCUCAAUCAGCAUAGGAUUUUUCUUGAAAUGGUCAACUGGGUUUUUGUACAGUAGGUGGUAACAAUCUUUGGCAGUUGAUAGUACAACCUUCCUGUAAUAGAGGUGCAAUGGUUAUCAACAUUAUAUUGUUGUGCCUACUUAUUUAUGUAAAGGUUAGUAAUUCAAUUUGCAAGAUAAUUUCCAAUCUAGGAGGCCCAGUCUGCAAGUUUAGGUCAAGUAGCUUAACGAAAGUCGUACUUUCCAUGCAACAAUUACAACUUAUUCACUUAACGAAACAACCAAACAUACCUUGGAAAAACUACUCAAACCGAAGAUUGUGAAAGAGGUCCAUCAUUUUCUUCCUCUCACGGAAUUCAAUACCGCCUCUAAUUAUCUGCGGUAACCACCUCGAGAACCUAUACUGCAGCAGCACAUAGAUUGUCUCAGGUUGGUAAUAGGGUACGACAAUUGAACUUUAGUUCCCUGACCCUCCAAGCAAUCGCGCCAUGGCGAUUGAGGACAGAUUGCUUGGAAUCUUUCCCCGGUGGUCAGGCAGGGGGUGAUGAUUUGUCGUGGAAAUAUGAUGACUUCUCUCUUAUUUUUGAUAUUGUAUUUUCCUUUGAUGUAACUGAAUCAGUGGUCCAACCAUGGAUCAUUGUUUGAUAUGAUGGUCCAGUCAUCAUCAGGAACAGUUGGUAUUCUGUAGGACAAGUUCUUCAGUAUAGGUGUAACAUCAGAUGUAUGUGUCGACAACAACCCGCUGUCGUCCUGCAUGAACUAUUCGUGUAAUUUCAUAAAUACUGAUCCAUCGCAAGACACAUGAAGAAGUGUUGGGUAUAAGUUAAUCCACAAGGUAGCUAGCUUGGGGUUGGCGAUCGUUCUGAGAUCAGCAAUCAUCAUGAAAUCGUCCGGUAUGAAGCUAAUGAUUUUCAGGUGUGUCUGCUUGUUUCGUUAAGUGAAUGAGUUGUAAUUGUUGAAUGAAAAGUACGACUUUCGUUAAGCUACUAGGGCCUAACCUUGCAGACUGGCCUCCUAGAUUGGAAAUUGUCUUGCAAAUCGAAUUGCUUACCUUUGCAUAGAUAAGCAGAAACACCAAUAUAAUGUUGACAAUCAUUGUAACUCUAUUUCACGAAGGUUGUACUAUCAACUGCCGAAGAUUGUUAACACCUACUGUACAAGAACCUAUUUGACCAUUUCAAAGAAAAUCUUAUGCUGAUUGAGGUGAUUGAUUCCAACAAAGGUCUCCACAUGCUAUUAACAUCGAACCCCAAGUGGUCGUGGCUUCUAACUGAUGGUGGGAAAUUCUCGAUGAAAAGCCUAAAGGAUUUGGUGGUGCAAGCACACAGGGAGGGUUGGACACUCGGUAAGAAGCAGUUUUCGCUGGAAAACUUAAUCGUCUCAUCAAUCCGGACGUUGAAGUUCAAGAACGCGCUUAUUAAGUAUAAUCUGCCAGACGACAAUCAGAUUGAAGACUUUUUUAGCUUCGAGCGAUGUUAUUUUUACGUUGGUCAAGCUGCUGCAUAGUGAUGACAUCAUUAGCUUCUUGGCGAACGAUUUCAUGAUGAUGAUUGUUGAUCUAAAAAUGAUCGCCAACCCCAAGCUAGCUAACUUAUGGAUUGACUUCUACCCAAACACCUUUUUCUGUUUCUUGCUAUGGACCUCCAUAUAUGAAAAUCCACAGGGUGUUCAUGGAGGACGACAGCGGGUUGUUGUCCACACAUACAUCUGAUGUUGCAGUUAUAUUGAAGAACUUGUCCUACAGAAUACCAUGUGUUUCUUAAGAUGACUCGAUCAUCAUAGCAAAGAAUGAUAUAUGGUUGGACCACUGGUUCAGUCACAUCAAAGAAAGAUACAAUUUGAAAAAUGAGAGACAAGUUAUUAUCUUUCCACGACACGUCAUCGCCCACUGCCUGAACCACCGGGGAAAGAUUCCGAGCAAUCUAUCCCCAACUGCCAUGGCGUGAUUGCUUGGAGGGUCACGGAACCAAAGUUUAAUUAUCGUACCCUAUUACCAACCUGAGGCAAUCUAUGUGCUGCUGCAAUACAGGUUCCCGAGGUGGUUACCGCUGAUAAUUAGAUGCGCUAUUGAGUUCCGUGAGAGGAAGAGAAUGGUGGAACUCUUCCACAAUCUUCGGUUUGAGCAGUUUUUCUAAGGUGUGUUUGGUUGUUUCGUUAAGUGAAUGAGUUGUAAUUGUUGCAUGGAAAGUACGACUUUUGUUAAGCUACUAGUGCCUAACCUUGCAGUCUGGGCCUCUUAGAUUGGAAAUUGUUUUGCAAAAUAAAUUGCUUAUCUUUACAUAAAUAAGCAGGCACAACACUAUAAAUUUGAUAACUAAUGCUCCUCAAUUACAAGAAGGUUGUACUGUCAACUGCCAAAGAUUGUUACCACCUACUGUACAAGAACCCAGUUGACCAUUUCAAGGAAAAUCCUAUGCUGAUUGAGGUGACUGAUCCCAACGAAGGUUUCCACAUGCUCUUAACACCGAACCCCAAGUAGCCCUGGCUUCUAACUGAAGGUGGGAAGUUCUCGAUGAAAAGCCUAAAGGAUUUGGUGGUGCAAGCACAAAGGGAGGGGUGGACACUCGGUAAGGAGCAGUUUUCGCUGGAAAACUUAAUCGUCUCAUCAAUCGGAACGUUUAAGUUCAAGAACACGCUUAUGAAGUAUGAUCUGAUAGACGGCAAUCAGAUUGAAGACUUUUUAGCUUUGAGUGAUGUUACUCUUACGCUGGUCAAGCUGUUGUAUGGUGAUGACAUCAUUAGCUUCUUGCCGGAUGAUUUCAUGAUGAUGAUUGCUGAUACGGCUACAGUGGCCGGUCGUCGCCACCAACUUGCGCGACUAGAGUGGUCAGCCGCCAUGUGCGACUCGCGUGCUCGGCUACAGUGAUCGACCGCCGAAUCGUCGAUGGGACCCAACGGCAACCACCCUUUUUGUGGGAGAAGCUCUGAAACGGGCAUGCCACUCGAGUGCGUUCGUCGCGGGAGAUCUGGGAGAAAGAUUUUGUGGGUCCACCGGUCAGUCUCGGUUGGUCCACUGCUCAAAUUGAAAAAAGGCACUGUGGGAAGACUUAGAAGGAUGCGGCAGUAUGGGUUGGGGUCGACAUGGAUCGGAGUUGGAAACCAGCGGAAGGGGUCGGAUACUCAGGGGUCGGGACCGGGACCGGAGGUUGAGCUCUUAAACUCGGGAAAGCUGAGACAGGGGAUUAGGGACUCGGAUUAAGAUUUACUUGAAAGAUUUGGGGUUGGUCGUUACAGCGCCCCUCGUCGACCCCUGGGGCGCGGCCUCCAAGCCCCGCAGGGUCGCGCCCUGGGCGGGCGGUCCGCUCAACCUGUCCCCCGCGGCCGGUUGACGGGACUGGUCCCGGAUGAUGAGCGUGCCAGGCACGAAGGCCGGGACGUAACCCUCCUCCUCCUCGGUCUCGUCUUCAUCAUCCUCAUCGUCAUCAUCAUCAUCGUCGUCCGUCACGACCGCGCCGCUCCGCCGCCUUCGGAACUCCUUCGUGGCCCUCUUCCUCCUCCUCGCCGUCUCCUUGUCUUUCCUCCUCUUCUACUUUUCAGUGAGGAGGCAGUUCUGCUGCGGCCGCGCUGCGUCCUCCGGCACUGGCGGGUGGGAGGCUACGGCCUGGUUCAACUCGCCCUGCAGACUCGAAAAUAUCACGUCAGGAAUGGCGAACUAGAAAACACAUGAAAGAAGGAUGAGAAGACAAAGAUUUCUCACCAGCGGGAUGUGGCCUUCGUCCAGGCGCAUCGGAGGGUGAUCCGGCACCGGGUAAACGACGUCCCUGUCGCCCAGCGCCUCACGGACACGCUGCUCGAUCUAGGCGUCGGCGAGCACACCCGUCGCAAGGACGGCGCCGUCAGUCGCCGCGCCGGGAACCAUAUCGCCAAGCGCAGGGGCUUGGAGCAUCAGUGGUGGCACCCUCCGAGCGUGGUACGCCCCGAUAACUCCGGCCCUGGUUAGGCCCUCCUUCAAGCGAUUGAUGGCCUAGAGAAAACCAGUGAUGUUCCUCUUCUCCUUCUCGACCGAACCAUACGUCCAGUUGUCCGGCGCCUCCGCGAUGACGCGGCCGGUGAACUCCAGCAAGGGGGACUCGGAGCAGUUCUUCAUGUAGAACCACUGCUGGUGCCACCCCUUGUGAGACGGCGCGGUCUUCAUCACCAUGUACUUCUUGGCGCGGUUCUGGCGGAGGUGGAUGCCAGCGCACCCCAUCGGCACCGGACCUGUCCGCACCUGGAUCCCCUUCUUCUCGAUCUUGUGAUGCAGGGUGACCGCGAAGAAGUAUUUCCAAAGCGAGAACUUGGGCUCAAUCCCCAGGUACCCCUCGAACAGAGCGACGAACGCCGCGAUGUGCUGGAUCAAGUUGGGGUUGAGGUGCUACAGCUCGAGCCCGUAGUAAUGCAGCAGCCCGCGGAAGAAGUGGCUCGGCGGAUUCGCAAACCCCCUCUCGUGGAAGUGCGCGAACGAGACGAUGUAUCCGUCAUCCGGCUUCGGCGCAUCCUCCCUCCCGGGGUACCACCACUCAUUCUUGGCGGUCCUCUCGCAAAGGAGGCCCUUCUUCACGAGGCUGGUGGCGCGAGCGGUGUUGAAGUUCGAGCGCAGCCAGGACUCCAUCGCUAAGGGAAGGGAAGGCUCAACGGUGGGGGCGGAGAAGGCUAAUGCGCUGGAACGAAGGGAGGUGAAAAGUGCGCAAGAAAGCAAGAAAGGCUGGAGACGAGUGCAGACUCCCUCGUCUUAUAGGGGGCGCGUGGGAAACGAAAGGGCAAUCCGAUCGCAGUUAUUGCGACGCCAGGUACGCCCAUCACUCCGCCUUUUUCGAACCGUGCACACGAUCUCUUCCAACCGCAGGGAACGUCUCCCCUCCUCGUUUCGCGGGCCUGGUGUUUUCCGUGGCUUCACCUCCCAAAGGAUGCACGCGCAUGACUUCCUCCACGUACGGCCCGGGGCCCACCAACAGGUAAAAAAAGGGAUACGGAGCUGAAAAUGCUCCUACGGCCCAUUACGGUCCAGGGGUUCGAAGGCUGGCCCACCGCAGGGUUCGACAGUCACCCCAGGACACUCCCGAGCAAGGGGUGAGAAGGGACGGGUCCGCUAGCGGGCACCACCCAGGCGAGCGAAAGCCAAGGGCGUCCCGACCUCACGUUCGAGGCCGGACUGGCGUUUAAGUUUAUGGUUUUUCCCCGAAGAAAGGCAACGAGCCCCUGGAUCCGAUCGAACGGAUCCGGGAACUAUAUGAAUUGGCCAUCCGGAAUCUGGAGUACGCCACUAGCUUGGCCCAAGCCGAACCCCCCCGAACGGGGACCGGGACUCCACUCCAACUGAUCCGUUAGCAGCUCACCGAGCAUCAUGGUUCGUCCGACGAGGGUAACAUGGCACGGCUCACCCCCUCCGUCCCAACGAACGGAUGCUUGAGGGGUACCGAUUAAAAGACAAUCCAACCUCUCGAUCGGUCCCCUACAACGCGCGGGGGCUCGGGGGCUGGAAUCGCAACCAACGACCAUGCGUGUGGUCAAUAUUUGGAGUCUUGGAGCAGGAGUGGUCGUCGGAACGAUAGGGAAUCUUCCCGAACCGAGCCAUCCUCAGAACACCCCGCCUACCCAAAACUCCCCGGCCAGGCCAAACGAGCGAAGCUUUUCCUCCCUGAUCAAAUGCAGGUUGCAGGUCAAACAAAGAUCCUUGAUGAACGACGAACAUAGCCUCUGGAGGAGCAUUCUUGCUCCACCAAAGGCUCGGGGGCUACUGUUGGGGGGAAAUAUUAACGACUUCCUUAUAUUCCUUAAACGACAGUUAUAAGGGCCCGGGCCCACCUCCAGCAACAGUGACCUCCGCCGACUUGGCCCGACCCCAGGGUCACAGGGUCGGACGCGCUUGACCCCCCGAGGCCGCUCCUCAUCCCAGCCGAGAGAGUUCUGCCUCGCCCGACCCCUCGCAGCAGGUCUCCGCCUCGCCCGACCCCAGGCGCAAGGGGUCGGACGCGCCCGACCCCUCGUCGCAAGGCUCCGUCUCGCCCGACCCCGGGCGCUAAGGGUCGGACGUGUCCGGACCCACAGGAUAGGGCUUCGCCUCGCCCAAAGGACGUGCGCGGACCAACAGACGAGGGCGCAGAUCUUGUGGGCCCCCACCGAUCUCGCCAUCAAUGCAACCGAUGGGACGCGCAUGCUCGGAACACGGCUCUGACACACGGAGAGGCGCCCGCGUUCCUCUACGUGACCUGCUGGAGUUUUCGGGCGGCGCACUGCUGCCACGACUGCACAGGGCUACAGCUGCACCAUCCUAACCCUCCCCUGUGACAUUCGUCAUAGGGCACUCAUCGCCCAUGCUACCUAACUAAGGAGGGUGCGCCGCCCGGUUUCCCGCUCGGCCCGGCGGCAGGGGCGUGUCAGCCGCGCCCCCCGGUCAGCACGCAUGGCUACAAUGGUCGCCCGUCAUCCGCGACGUGCACGGCUACGGUGGCCAGUCAUCAUCAUCAACUCGCACGGCUACAGUGGUCGGUCGCCACGCACGUCUCGCGUGCUCGGCUACAGUGGCCGACCGCUGGGUCAUCGAUGGGACCCAACGGCAACCACCCCUCCUCGGUGGCCACGCUGACAGGACGCAGAAAUCAGAAGGGAAGGCGGCCACCCCGGUGGCUCGACCCCUCUCCCUGUGCUUUACCUUCCUUGCUUACCUUUUUUUACUUCCCUUUACUCCUGGCUCAAUGGUAACUCAUGUGUCCUCUUUACGCUAUAAAAGGAGGACCAGGGGGGCCGAGAAAGGGACGGCUCUCGAAUGGAACAAUCCAACUCCGACCCGCAAUCCAACCUCACGAGCAUCAGUGCACACCCACAGAGACUUGGGACCAGCUUCCCUCUCUCGCCCGUUUGUAACCCCUACUACAAACUUGGCACGAGUAACACGAGCAGCCUCCCACUCUGGACGUAGGGCUAUUCGUGUCCGAACCAGUAUAAAUCUCGUGUCCUCUCGUGCAACCAUCUGAGCCUUACACGCAUAGAAAACAAAUUUACUUGCCGGAGUCUUGACCCAUGAUUCUUGACACCGACACAAAGGUAAAUAAAAUCUAGGCGAACCUUAAUUGGGACCCAUCAAGAUUAAAAGUAUUAUGUGCAUAACAAUGUUGUAUUGAACAUGAAAGUAAAGGUGAAUAGGACUUAAAGAAAUGAUCAAGGACACGACUUGCCUUCUUGACCUUGCUCUUGCUAUUCAUACUCCUCGAAGGCUUGAUCUUCAAAUCCCUCGAACUGCUGAACGUCUACACGCGUCACAUGAGCACGUACAAGCAAACAAAUGCGUAACAUGAAAAACAGUACACCAAUCAUAAUAAACAGAGAAAACAAGAUUGAAAAACUAAUCUACGCAUUAAAACGAACACGUGGAUAUAAAGAACGCGAAAAACGAAGUUAAGAUGCAAAAGAUAUGAUUAAAACAAGUUUUAGGGGCUUUUCAGCGAGAAAAACAACUUCCAGGGCUAAACUGUGAGAAACCGAGGACUUAUACGUAAUUACGCAUACAAACCGAAGGUUUAAUGCGCAAAAACGCCACUCCGGAUGGCGGGUUAAUUUUAUAAAAGAGCAGGGUUUAAAACAGAAGAAAACAGGACCGGCUCGUAAAUAUUUUUGAACUAGCUUGGACUGCAGGUUGAUUUGCGGAGAACGCGAGGGUUAAAAUGCAAAAAUGAUGCGGCGUGGCGCGGUUGACCGGUGCGCUGCUAGUUGACUCUCGCCCAGGCCGUCGAUUCGAGAUCGAGCGGCUGGCGAGGCGCUGCGCUGACGCCAGCAGCGGUGAGCGGCGGUGAGAGGCGGCAGUGCGGCGGUGCUCCGCCGGAGCUGCUCGAAAAUGAGCUCCCGGCCAUGGUUUCACGUGCGGAUUGCACAGGAAGCACGAGGGGCGCACAGCGAACUCGUUUGGAGCUUCGGCGAGGGACUAGGCGCGGUCGAGACUCACCAUGAGGCUGAGCUUGCAGCAGCGGCGCUGGAACUCGGAGGCGGCUAGGGUUUGGUGGUGCGGCAAAAAGGACCAGGGGUGGCGGCCUUAUAUAGGGGCGGAGGCGGCACCGGCUCAGCCCGAGCUCGACGCGGAUGCAGGGACUCGGCGUGCGGAGGAAGGAAGGCGCGGCGCAAGAAAAAGGAAGGGGGCGGCGCGCUGGGAGGAAAGGAGCGGGAGGAGGAAGAAAGGAAGGUGAGGGACGACGCUGCCCACCUAUCGGCGAGAGGAAGCGGUUGCUGCGCCGCGAGCAGGCUGGCGCGGAAACGGGCCAGGGAAAGGGAAUGUGGGCCUGCGGAGCUGGUGGUGGGUUGGAGGAGAAGAAAGGGAGUAGUGUUGGAGGAAAAGGAGAAGGAAGGGGAUGCAACCAAAAAGAGAAGGAAAAAAAAAGCCUUUUUAUGUAAAAAGGGAUUUGAGUUUAGAAUUUGAAUUUGAUCAAACACAGUCAAUCAAAAUAAAUGCACCAGCAUGCAUGCACAAUAAACUCCUAUGGUGAAUCAUUUUAAUUUGAGAAAAUAAAAUUAAAUGCCUAGAAAUUUAAAUAACAUCCUAAUUGAGCAAUUUUUAGUGGAUUUGAAUUCUUUUAAUUUUGGGUGUUACAAUUUGGUGGUGCAAGCAUACAGGGAGGGAUGGACACUCGAUAAGGAGCAGCUCCCGCUGGAAAACUUAAUCGUCUCAUCAAUCGGGAUGUUUAAGUUUAAGAACGCGCUUAUUAAGUAUGAUCUGAUUGAGGACUUUUUAGCUUUGUAGCUGGCAGUGGCUUCUCAAACGCUGGCGGUUUGCUUGCAUGUAACUUGUUCCGAAAUUAGAAUUCAGAAGUACCCGGGAAUGGCAGUUGAGUUGGACAGUAUCAUAGGCAGAAAUAAUGUGUGUAUGCUUGACCAUGCUCGUCGGAAUGGAAGCCUCUGAACAGGCUAGUAGGUAAGAUGAGAAUGAAUCGUUCAAAUCCUCUCCGUUCCCCUCGGCUGUCCAGCGGCCAACUUGUUCUUAUGGUUCUCUGAAUUUUGAUGCUGCUGUGAUCUGGUACAUGCUGUCAAGCUGAUUGAUCGUUAGACAUGUGUGUGCUUUAUUCUAUUUGAUAAACACAUCUAUUCCUUUCACUGUCUGCUAACUUGCAUCAAUUAGUAUGGGUGUAUGCUUGACUAUGCUUCCAACAACGUUGGUAGUCUUAAGAUGUGAAGGUGGUCCAAUAUCUUUAGACUUUAGGUCCCAUCAGAAUUUGUGAAGCAUCAGUUUAAUCAUUUACAUACAGACAAGCUUGUGUCAGCGGAUGAGGAUCAGGUCUAACCUCUUCGGAUUGGGAGAGAUGAAGCAAUCUCCCAGGUCCCAGCAAACCACCUCUUCGGAUUGGGAGAGUUGAAGCAAUCUCCCAGCAAACCUAGGGGUUGGAUAUAAUCCCUGGACCGCUAUCAUUCUUCUGAAGUAACCAAUCCUGUCACAUUUUCUACAUCACAAUAAAUUAUCAAAGUCCUUGUCUGUUCUAAAGUUUACAGAUGGAAACCCGUAUCGGUGAAACAUGUUGUGUUAGUGAUAUUUGGGAUUGCAAUGACUGCGGGAGUUUACAUUUUCAACAAGUUAUAUUUGCAAGACUUGGUAAAGAUUUCUUCACAAGAAAGCUACUAACCUACAAGGCAUCUCACGUUUGCCUUUCUGUCUUUAGCAAUUGGAUGGAACUGUUAGAAAUGGACCAUCCACUCUACUGACUAAUGGAUUGGAUGAUACUGUGCAAUCCCACGUUUUGGUGGUAGUUUCCUUACGAUGAACAGCACCAAAGACGAUGGCACAAUCUCAACAAGCUGCAUAAGACACAGUGAACACCAGCAAUUAUAUCAGCAAGUGCGACGAUUGAUCAUAAGGAGAUAUAAAUGAUAUCACAAAGUUAGCCUAUAUGAUUGAAAUGAACUGACAUUUAUAUAUGUAUCAAAAAACCAUUUCCUAUCAUUAUAUAUAAAGAAAAUCUCCUAGAAGACAUCAAUAUCUACAUCAAACAAAUGAAAGUGAAAUAUAAACUUGCGAAGAAACACCAAGUGAUCUGAAAUAGCAUGGUUAAAAUUGCAGGUACUAACAACAUACCAAGUAGUAAAAGAAGUUCAGGAUUGGAUGAUUCAGAACAUCGAGAUCAGCUUCUUUAUUAAAAGCACUAAAGCACAUCUGUAAGAUAGAUAUAAUAAAUCAAAAUGUUUAUUGGAAUUAUUUCAGAACUUAAGUUAGUGCCGUAUAGGAUUUACCAUUAUGCAUCUGAUCAAGAAGCAACCAAAGCAUAUGGUGGGCACAUAGCCAACCUGUGUAAAAGGGGAUAAUGUUAAACAUACAAAGUCAUCUAGAAAUUUCUACAAUGCAAGAAUCCUGAUAGUGAAGUACCCCAUUCAACUUUUUCCGCCGACCUUCCGACUUGACAGGGAAACGCAGCAACAUCAGGAAUAGCUUACACAAGGAUAUACACAUUAUUAUAAGUAGCUCCUCUGUUAUCAAAAGGAUCAGAACAACAUGACAGAAAUCUACAGGCCCAUGCUUGUUUGCAUGUCCUCAUUUUACAUAAGCACAAGGACGCAUUUAGUGUAUGGAAAUAUUUAUAACUUAGCAAACACCCUCAUAUUGCAGAAUGCAGAUAUCAAGGGGCAACACUGUACAGAAAAUUUUUUGCUCUCAUAUUAGUGGCAUGCUAAGCUUCUUGUUUUCUGCAGUAGCAGUGUAACCAUAAUAAUGCUCAAGGCCAAACAAAAAAAUUAUCUAGUUUAAACAAUGGAAAUAGUAUAGUUUUCAUCUGAUAAAGAACCAUGAUAUAUCAAGGAAUAAGUUAUUACCUUCCUCCAUAGAGAAGGAAACGAAAAGCAGCAAAUAAGGAUGUAGCUGAAAACUAGCUCUGUGUUAGUAGCAGAGGUAAAUAAGUACACAGUAUAAAAUCACAGACUGCGAUAUAAUUUGCUUUAAAUAACUUAAUGUCCAAUUUUAUGUCUCUUUCCUGUCAAAUAGUUGAUACAAGGAGCUAAGGUUAAAAAAUGUAGCUUCUGGAAUUUGCUAAUUGGGUAUUAUUUACAUGAAACUAAGAAUAUUUUCAUAACUAAUAUCAAAAAUUUGUUUUUGAACAUAGUGAUAAUGGGGGAGAAGUCAUCGCAUUAUCUUUUUUUUAAAAGCCUCGUUUAUGAGAGUACAAGUUGUAGUAUCUGAACUUACACAUAGACACACACCCCCACACACACCCAACACCACAAUCACACAUAUCGCAAGCUAAAUCCUACCCCUACACUCACACUCACAUGCCUGCCAUGAAGAGAUGGUCUCGGACAGCAAUUCCCAACACGUGUUGAGGUUGCAGCAAUCCAGGAAAAAUCCUAGAAAAUCCCCUCGAAAUCCGGUUCCAAAGGGAUUCGAACUUGGGACCUUCUACUGAGGUUUGGUGCUACUACGGCUUCUGGUGACCAAUUGGUCCCAGGCCUGUUCGCAUUAUCUCUGACUACUGCUGGAAAAAUUUGUCUAAAUGGUUAUUCUUCGUUUGCCUUAUAUCCCACAGGUUGCUAGAGGUAGACCGUAGGUGGUGACAACCCUAUUGAUCCUUUGUAAUCCUCCACGUCCGGAUACAGCGUAGAGUUGGGUUCAUAAAACCGCAGGCAAGAGUUGCCUGACAGAUCAGGGGUAAGCCGAUGCCCGAAGAAAGUUCUAUUUGAGAGAUCGACCCCUAACUCAACUAUAGUGCUAUCUUAGGAAUCCUCUCUACCUUUGCCUCCUACCUUGGUGUGUCCUUGGACCGACUAAACUAGAAGUUAGUACACACGUUCCUUGGGAUUCGAUACCCUUGGAAUACUUUGAGAUGAAAGCUACAAUGGUAUCCGUACGCUUGCGGAUAUAUUCGUCAUCGUUAAUAUACCCAACAGUAGGAGUUAACAAGAAUCAACUGAGGGCAAGGUUGUUCCCUUUCUCUCUACUUUGGAGAGCACUUCAAUGGUUUUGUUCUCUACCUACAGCAAAAGUUCAAAAUUAGGAUGAAUUGAUGAAGGCUUAUAUGACAGAACAUUAUUCUCUAGUCAAGACGUAGAAUCUGAGGAACAAGAUCAUCACUUAUCUUAGUAUAUGUGAUAGGACUGACUCGUCGCAACACAUCGAUGCGGCGGACGGUGCCUUGCUUUUGGGGUCAAGCAAGCGCCCGGCCGGUCUUCCACGGCUGAGGGCGACGCAUGUGAUGCUUGGGUAAUUGGCUUGCUUGGUGGAGACAGGUGUGGAAGCUGCGGUAGUGCACGGCCAUUUUCAGAUCCUUUUCCGGCGUCCUAGUUGCCACUCAGGCACUCAGCGCUUGGCACUCGACCCAGACAGAUAGCCUCUGGGAUUUUCGUGUCAAAUCGUGCUUGUGUGGCCCACCUCGAGUGAAAAAACUCGCUGUUUCACCUGUCCUUUCUUUCCUCCUUCGAACUUGCGUCGUAGUAGAGGGUGGCAGACUUGUAAUAGCUGUGUUGACGCCUCGGAUCCACACAACACUUGUUCAAAGUCAACGCGCCCGUCUUUUACAUACGACCAAGUUCGACCUUUUGGAACUAGUCAACCCUUGGAGGUUAGUUUCGACGUGUUGGACCAAACAGAACAGCCACACCAGACGAAGAACCAACCUUUUUUUUUCCAGUGCUACAGAGCGUAUCUGUGCAGCAGCUAGCCAAUAGAUUCUGCCACCUAUCCGUAGGAAAAUAAUGUUACAUUAUUAAGAGUUUUGAUAGCUGAACCACACACUGCUCCGUCCUCAAUCACCCAGGUUAAGAAUUAUAAACACACGUGACAUCGUCAUGUCUUAAUCCGACCUCAUGCCUGAUGCUCUCCUUUCAAAUGAAUCGAAUUUCGACGCGUGUCCUUUUCAAAACCAAAAAAAAAACUUUUGACGCAUGCCGUGCCAGGCAUUUCCUGCGUAAAACAGCAGCAUGCAGUCCACAGCUGAGUAACAGAGAAACACACCACGGCCAACUCAUCAAGCAAAACCAACAGAAACACAAACAUCUCAGACAACGGCUAGUAGCACACAUGACUAAUCACAUUCAGACACAAAACAAUGGACAUGGUGAAAAUCAAAUAUGAGAUGCUACCCGUCACAUUCAGAAUGCUCGGACUUGUGUAAAACUGAUGAUUUGUAUCAGAUAUAAACAGGAUUCCAUGAGCGAAGAGAAACACGUCACAGCACCGAUAAUUCAGGCGACUGGACGAAUAAAAUCAAAAUGUGAGACAAGAAAAUGAAUGAACUCUGGAGUUAUCAUAAGCAGUUUUCAGUUUUCGCUUCAGUCCCAUGGUCCAAUCCCCUAUAUAUAUUGUCUUAAUAAACGGCCACACUGAAAUGGCAGAGCAGGAGAAUUAGCAGGCAUUGUUCUCUUAUAUAAUAACCAAGGGGGAUGCAAUUUACAGUUCAUAUAUCAGCCAUAGGGUGGUUUAGCCAGAGCAGAGCUUUUCGAGAGCCAGGUUCUCAUCCCCAUCGACACUCUUAAGGGUACUUCUCA